CCAUUAGGGCAAGCAAAAAUGCCGCAACAAAGCAUCAACAUUGGAAAAACUUUGUUGCCAAAAUGUCAAAUAAAUAGCUCCCUUCUCAGAGUUAAGUGCUACUUACAUCACAAAGUGCCCAACUAUUUGAUUUACCUCAUAAAUUGUGCAAGAAGAUGCGGGUUGACUAGUUACGCCGCCCAGAGUGGCUAUUUCUCUGUCAUUACCACUGGCGGCAGCGGCAAGCCAAAGAAGUUCUUGGUAGAACUAACCUUUCUUUCAAAUCCACCUUUCGUCAGGUUACUCGAAGCAGCCGAGAGAGUUUGGAUUUCAGCAGAAAGGUGUCUUGGCUAUACCUUGCGAAGCAAGUGAGCUGCAACAAAUAUUAUCACAAGUAUGAAGGAAAAUUCAACGCAACAAAUUGCUAUCUGUAUAUACAUUCUUGUAUUGCCCCCACAAGUUGCAAAUUAUCAGGGCACUGAAAAUUUAGUACCCUUAAUUUAAUCAGCUCAAUGAUCUGAUAUUAUUGUAAUGGUAUACUCGAUGCAUAACAAUCAAUCUAUUAGUCGCAAGUACAACAAUAUCAAAUACAGCUAAAGAAAAAUGAUUCUACUGCAAAUCAACGAAGAAUAACUAAAUGAAGCUCCCAUAUCAAAUUGCAUAGCAUCUGAAUAAAUCCGUGGCACACUGGCCCUAUCGUUGAAUCUAAAAUCAUCACCAAUCUGGUAAACUGCAUCUGCUAAACAACAUUAACAAGUUUACACAAAAACUUCAAUUUCAUUCAUUAAAAAAUCAAUGGGGAUGACGAAAAAAAAAAAGACCUGAAACAUCUCGAAAAAAAUGCCUUAAAACUGGGUCCGUACCUAAAUGGAUUAGCAUCACAUUCACAACACUACAGUAUGGUUUUAGCAAUUGACUAAACCUAAUCAACAUCUAUUUCCUGAAAAUCAGUCAUUCAUAUGUCACUCAAGGUAUUACAAAUUUACAUCUGAGGAAGCUCGUGCUGGUUUUCCAAAGAUUGCCGUAGUAUAAACUCCACUCUCCUCUUCUUGUCGUCUUUCUCAUCCUCCCGCCCAAACCAUGCUGCUGUUUUACCAUAGGCCUUGUUCCGAAUCCUCAAAUCCAACGGUUCACCAAAUACCUUUUUACCCCGCCUGAAAUCCAAAAAUACAGAAUCCCUUUUCUCCGGAAGAAUCUUUUCCCCAUCACUUCCAGAAUCGAGCCCAUCCUUCAUAGCUUCAAUGGCUGGAGCAAACGUCUCCAACAAAGAUACAUGCUUUUCAGUGUGUUUCUUACCAGAAAGCCUUGCUGGCAGAUUAACCUGGGACACGACUCUCUCACCAGCUUGUAAGGGAUUAGCCAGAAACGGGUUCUCCGUUUUCAACUCGUUUCCAUUCUCAUAUGGUUCAGCAGAAGUUGUAGCCACUGAUGAACCAUUACACACUAGCCUUUGCUGCAAACUUAAUAAAGACCUUUCUGCCUUCCUAUUCUGCCUCGCUAGCUCAAUCUUAUCCGCACGAGCAUCAGAAACCCUCUCAUUCCAAACGGGUGUUCUUAUAUACGUGUGAGGAUCUGGAAAUGCAGGCAACCAUGGUGGUAUGUGCUUAGAGACCGGUGUCUCGCCCAUUUGCGAGAAACUAGGUAUCAUCCUAUGUUCCCUAAUCACGGGAAAUCGAGGCACUGGUUGAGCAAAUGGUAUCUCAUCAGCCGUCUCAACGUACUCCUUAAUCUCUCUUAUAGCACCCGAACUCACUAUACAGUCGGUAUGAAUCUUCGAAGCACCUGAAAACCCUUGUGGCAUGCCCAAGUCUUCUAACCCUUGAACAAUGUCAAACACAUUGCACUCAGUCCUACCAGCUACAUUUGCAUAAUAUUUUGAGGUUUUACCCACAUCGCAGAGGUACCUAAUCGCAAUGUCAGCGAGCGAAUCAAGAGCCGACUCGUUGAAUCCCUCGAACCCAACGCUCUCGCAUAAUUGAGACACUGCAAUUCUCGAAAUUGAUCGGCCGUAAUUAUUAGCACCGGAGCGAAUAAAUGGUUUAUUGUGUUCAUAUCUCUUACCUUCAGCUUCACCUCCAUCGCUCAUGUUCAGAUUCAAGAAUCAUUUAGGGCUUCUACGCUUCACAAAUCCUAAUAACAUUCAAAUUACGAAUUCCGAAAACCGCCACCAUAAAAAUCACAAAAUCAAUGAAUCAUUUAAAACACCACUGUAUGAUUCCAGAAAAGAAAAAAACCCUAGAAAACCAGCUGAAAUUGAAAUGGAUGGAGAUAAAACCCUAGAGAGAGAGAGAGAAAAAAAAUCACCACCCUAGGGUUUCCACUGUGAAGAAAACAAUUUUGGGGGGAAACGAAAUUGGGGGUUUAUGGAUUUAACGGUAGAAUGAUAAACCCUAAGCGACUGAAAUGGAAAUAUGGAUCGGAAAAGAGUGAAAUCAAAUGGAGAGAGAGAAAAGUCAAAAACUAAGAGCUGAAACUGAUAUAUUUAUAGCCGGAUCGAGAUUCCGAGGACCCUUUUGUAAAUUAUUAUAAAUAACUAACCCGAGUUUACAAAUAUAAUAGCGAAAAUUACCAACAAGUCCUAAUGAAAAACUCUUAUCACCAACAGGUCCCCAAACUUAUAUUUAUAUCUAAAAAGUCCCAAAAUCAAAAUGAAAAAUUUGGGAUGAUCCUAUCCAAAAUACAGUAGAACCAAAUCCAAAUGGCUUUUCCUCUGCAAUUGCACUCAUCGUCUCUACCAAUCCGGCACGAAACUCGUCUGUGUUUCUUACCAAAUCCGAUAAAAGCAUCGUUGUCGGAAAACACACCGCAAUUCCGGAAGCUGUUGCCUCAACUGGUUACUUCUGUUCCGGCCAAGUCUCUCAAUUUCUUCCUCUCCGGCACCCUCGCUCUUGCUUUCUCCUUCACCGGUCAGUUUUAUUCUCGUGGUUGUUCUGAGAUUAAUUAAUUAAUUAGUUAAUUAAUUGUGGGUAAUAAUAAAGUGUAGGAGUGGGAUUUGCCGAGGGAUUAGUUGGUGUGAAUAAGCCAGAAUUGCUACCCAAACAGUUCACUACUGUAAUUGAUGUUGCUGGAUUCCUCUCCGAUGGCCAGGUUUUGUUCUGCCUCAAUUUUGUCGAAAACCGAAGCAUAAUCGAAACUGUCGAGUUUAUUCUAAAAUCGAAUUAUUUUGCUCACGGUUGCUGAUAUUUUGCAGAGUUUGUUAUGAUUGAUAACACCAUCGAGUUUUACGUGUAAAAUUAACGCAAGUUCGUAAUAUCACCGUAUAAUGUUUGAAACUGGAUCGAACAGGAAAGAAGAAUUGCUCAGGAAAUCGAUGCCCUGGAAAAAGAUACCGGAUAUAAGUUGAGACUUCUGGCCCAGAAUUAUCCCGAUACACCUGGUAUAAACCGCCUUUGCUAAUUAGCUAUCCGUUUUUCUUUUGACAGUAAUAAGAAUGUAAUAAGAUUCAAUCUGAUGUAGGCUUAGCAAUCAAAGAUUUCUGGAAAGUCGAUGACAACACGAUUGUAUUUGUUGCUGAUCCCACAUUCGGUACUAUUCGAUCUGCAACGAAAUAUUCCAUCUCUUCUUCAACUUGCUAGAUUUUUGUUUUUUUUAACUUGUAUGUAUAUAUCGCGUAUAAUUAGGAAAUAUAUUGAACUUCAACGUUGGGGCGUCGGUGGAUCUGGACAUACCACGUAGCUUUUGGAGCCGAUUAGCUGGGAAAUAUGGAAACAUAUUUUACUGGAAAGAAAAGGUUAAUAAACUUGUCGAUUAAAUACUUGUUUAAUUCUACGGCAAUUAUACUCAUAAGAUUAUUCUACCGAGCAGGGAGAAGAUGCAUCUGUAGAAGCUGCUGUGAUGGCCAUAUCGACUUGCUUAAGAGAACCGGUCAGUGCAAAUAAUUGCUCAGAGGUAAAAUGAAAUUCUCCGUACUGAAUAAUUCGGUUCUUUCAUCUGUUGUAAGAAAAGAAAAAUAAAAGGAGAUUGUACUACGGUAUAUUAUAGAGGCGUGAUAUCGAUUAUCGAGGCUUGUAUUCGAAGUGCAAAACUACUUUAGGUCACUUGACUGUUGCCCAACUAUAUGACUUUAGUUUGCACUCAAUGCGUAAUUGAAACAUAAAACCGAGUAGUUUCAAAUUACAUAGGACGAUGUAGUAACAAUACAUCCAGCUGACUCAGAAGCAGAACUUUACGAAGAAUUACAAGAACAUAACCACAGCAGCAAUUACCAAUACAAAUAGGUAAAUUGUAGGUAGGUAUAAAUCAAAUAGCUAUAGCUAAGGGGGAUGCUAGAUUUAAGAAUAAAGAUGCGGUACCUUACCUUAAUAUCAAACAUACACGGGCAUGCAGAAAACAAGAUUUGUCAUUUUUUGCUUUCGAGAACAGAUUUAAGGUCACUGUAUCUGCAUGGAAUUGCAAGAAUACCCGUUUGUUUAAAACCGAAUUCUUGCUCGGCUUGAUCCAACAGCUUGAGAAAACCCGGGUGAGCUAGAUAACUCAGUUCCACAAUAGACCUCCUCGACUCACCGUUUUCAGCUGUAUGCACCACGAAAUGCCCCUUCUUCACAUCUUCCGGAAGAUUACUAUCCGGAACUGAAUUCUCAUCAUCUUCAAAAUCAAGAUCCAUUGCAGGGUUAUGAGAAUAGUAUGUAAUAAACGAAGAGAGGACUUUUCGGAGCAUGUUGUUGACGAGUUUAAGGAUAACUAAACCUCCACUCAUCCUUAAAGUUCCAAACAUCGAGCGUACGAAAAAAAGGACGGAACUUUAUAAACCGGAUUUGGGAGGGAACAAAAGAUCCGGUCUUGACAGAAUGUACAGUGUGAUAUAUAUCACUUUCAGCUCCCUUUUCAAAGUUUACGAGUAGUAAAGGACUGAAACCAAACGUGAAUAGGACUUGACGGUGUGAGAUGGCUAUAAGAAGUAAGAGAGGAAGGAUAAGGUAUGAACAUGUCUGAAAACAAAUGGUAAGUUAGAGAGGGUUCUCAUGCAGCAUGUGCAAUAUGUGUGGGGGACCAUAAUUUAUGUUUUAAUGUUUCCAUCCUGUCUACUGUUUGGUGCAGUGGAGAGAUAUUCUAUUAUGGUUAGUGAUACUAAAUGUUGUAACAUGAUUGUGUUCUUCGCUUUUAGGGUGAAAGUCGAAAACUGUAGCUACUGAGGGAAUAGGGUAAUUCUAGGUAGGUAUCGAAUAAUUCAGACACCGUCAUUAGGUUGGUUCAUGAAAUAACAUUGAAGAAAAAUAUAGAGCCGAACGCAAGAACCAUAAACUGAUUAGAUCGAUAUCGUUGUAUAAAUACACGGGCAAAAAUCUAUUCUUCGUUUACACACACCCAAAUGGAUGUGUGUGCUUUCGUAUUUCGAUGAAAUGCUAUCUAGGCAGUAUGUUUUUUGUGUGUAGAACAAUGAAAGGUAUUAUACUCGUUCUUUAGGCCGAGAGAAGGCGUAGCUCGACACCUUUUCCAAAGUUUCCGUUCCAUUAGUCGUAUUAUUUCAUCAUGCUUUAUAUUGCUUUCUUAAAAUUACAAGUCGAAAAUCCAAUUAAACUAAAUCAUCUUUUAGCUGAAACAGAUUCUUCCCGGGCUUCAAUCAAGAUUAGAAAAAAAUACCGGUGAAUUUCACCGGGUAGGAUUCCUCGUGUAUAGAUAACUCCCUAUUUUACACACCCGCGUGUACGCGAGCGUAAUUACGUUAGUUUUGCGGUGCAAAAAACUACCCGGUAUAUAUAUUUACAAGAGGUCUGUGUAAUAACUACAUCUUAAUUUACAAGUACUUCACAAGUACUCUCCAUGUGUACCCUUUGAUAUUAGGACAGAGUACUUAUCAGAUGACAGGCUGGAAAAACCAAGAAAAAACUCAAACCUUGGCAAAAUGAAAAUCUACCAUUCAUAUUCAAUUAUUGAUCAUCCUCAUACAGAACACACGAAAAGAUUGAAUUUUUAUUCAAAGAGUUGGCUUACGCUCGAACGAGGUGCCAGGAUCGUCUGUGGAGGGGAACACCAGAAAACAGGUGACCAUAGCGUGAGGCGGGCCCCGCGUGCAACGCUGCUCCAUCUCUUCAACCUUUUCGGGCUUGCCCGAAAACAGAGCCUCCACAGAGCCGUCUCUGCGGUUUCGAACCCAACCUUUUAACCCUAAUUCGAUUGCAUUUUCGAUUGUCCAGUUUCUGUAGAACACUCCCUGCACCCUCCCCUUCACCACCACCCUCACCUGCAAUGCAAUCGGAAAGCAAAAUUAAAUUAUCUAGUUAUGAGGGAAAAUUAAUAAUAAUAAAAAAAAAAAAAAAGUGGAUGAAAGGGGUUUCAGACAGUUUUAGCGGCGGGGGAAUUGUGGUCGGAGUUCAAGGAGGACAUAGGAGAGCAAAGAGGGAGUAAACGGCGUCGGAGCAGAGGAGGAAGAGGAGUAGCAGGGAGAUGAAAACAACGGCGAAUCGGAAGAGAAUGAGAAGGAAGAGGAAGACGAUGAGGAAGUAGAAGAAGAUUAAGCUGGGGGAAUUGUCUACAGACAUUGUUUACUGGCUGCGGCCAUAGAAGUAGCUCGAGGGAAUUCUGUUGGGUUGAAAUGGCCGCCAUUUUUGUUUAAUUGACCAUUCUGAUUUUUGGAUUUGGGGGAAUAUUGGGAGAAGAAAGAGGAAGCUUCUGGACCGUUCAUUGGGCGAAAUCCACGAAUCUUCGGCCGGCCCAAAAGGAGGUUCUUUGGAGAUGGAGAUGGCAAUACAAUACAGAAGCUUCCAAAAUUAAUUUAAAAGAUAAAAUAAUUUCUGUGUAAUAUAUUAUAAUCUUGAAUUCUAAUGGGCUAAUAAGGCCCAUAUUUUGAUCAUGGGCCUUAUGAAAAUAUGGAAUUGUUUAAAGCCCAAUUAAUUCUCACUAUCGAUAGUCGGAUGGAUCAAUAAUCGACUCAUGAACCGACUCAAUAAAUGCUUGAACUCGAAAUAUUUAUGGGUCAGACCCGACAAACAUCGAACAAAGUUUGAUUAUUUAGUUAAUCUACCCAAACAAACAAUGCAUAUAUAGAUAGUACUACUAUUUUUCAAAAAAAAAAAUUAUAAAUAAAUUGCUAAUGAGCAUUGACUCGAUCUAUUGACCUAUUCCCACAACAUAGUGCCAAGUGUAUACUGCGUGGAGUGGGCCAAUAAAAUGAAUUUAGUAUUUUUAAUUAUUUUAAAAAGUUGUUUUCACUCCAUGGAAACUGUUUUUCACGUAUUGAACUAGUUAACCUCAAAAUAUUUCCGACCUCAACAAUUAUUAUUUCGGAGAAUUCAUAAUAUUGUCUUUAUAAGACACCAAAAGUCAUAUAUUUGGACCAAAUUGUGCAAGCACUAAAAUUGCGUCUUUUUCACUCUCAUGCAGAGUGACAUGCAACUUUUUUUUUUUUUUUUGUAUUGCUUCAAUUAAUAAUUGAUUCAUAUAAAUUGCAAGUUGGCCUUCUCAAAUUGCAAUGUGUAAAAUUGAUUGAGACUUAACACUAACUGAUAUUAUAGACGCAUUCAAAAAAUAACGUCAUCAUGCAUGUUUGUUUGUUUUUUAGUGGAUACAUAUAAUCUUUUUUUACUCGCUAACAGUCUAAUCAUAUUGAGAGGAUGAGAGAGAAACUUUUGAAACUGCUGUGGAGAUUAUUUUUGAAAAAUUAAACAAGCACGAAGUUAUUUUCGAGAAUGAAUAAAAAUGGAUGAAAUGGAAACGAAAACAAACAUUCUGCAACGGUAUAAUUUGCACAUAUUUAUUUAAUGAACACAUAUUAUUAAUUCAAUAAAAGGUAUACUAUGCAAAGAUGAAAUAGAACUUGAAGUCCUAACUAUUUUGUCCCAUUUGUAAUUUUAUUUUUUAGGUGAUUGAAAACAAAUUAAAAGAGUAAUGGAUUGAAUUGUUGCUUGUAAGAAAAACAAUUUGCUUAUAGAGUUUGAGUUCUAAAAACAUUAGAAUUCUAAUUCUAAAAUAACACUUGUAUAUUUUUGGCGUUGUGUUGAAAUAUGCUGCAAAUUACAGUUUUGUCCCUUUGUAUAUAAUUAUAGAAACUAACCCUAAAUAUUAGGCCAGACGAUAAACACAACGAGAAAAGGAUAAAUAUAUCAGUUGAAUCCGAUUCUGAUUACUUGUUUUUAUUUGAACUUUUAUUUUCCACCCUACUUAAUAUUAAUAUAUUAUAUUAACCAUUAGUGGAUAAUAAACACUAAAAGCCAAAAAAAUAAAAUAAAAUGAAACAUUAUCUGGACCAAAUAAAAGUGCAUGGUGACGAGUGUAAGAAAUUCAAGACCUAAUUAUAUAUGUAACGACAUUGGAUAUUUUUUUAUUUUGUUUGUAUUAAGACAUAAACAAAGAAUUCCACCACACCAUGAUUUUGAUUUUUUUGUACGAUCACAAUAUUAAAAAUAAAAUGCAUCAAUCACACUGCAGCGAAAAAAAAAAUUGAUAUCAAUUGGUAUAAAUUAUUGGCAAAAUAAUGACAUAUUUAUUGAGCUAAAUUAUUUGAAAUUUUCAUCCAAAAUUAAAUUUAGUCGAGGCGUACAGCAGUAGUAGAACCUAACUUGAGCACCAUGCAUGCAGUGAUAAUAUAUUAAUUAAAUUAGGACUAAUGAAAAUAAUUAAUAUGUGAAUAAUGGUAUGCAUCCACCUUCUGCCAUAUAUAGACAAUAUUAAAAAUAAAAAAUAAAAAAGUGGCCUUUCACCUUUGCACAAUUAUUUGUUCAUGCCUCUGACUCAGCUCUGACUAUGACAUACAUACAAUAUAUAUAUAUACACAAUAUAUAUGUGCAUGCAUCAUCUACUGUACAUGACACAUUCCAUUCCUCUAUCCAUGCAAAUUAUAUGUUUUAAUUAUUAUUUAUAUAUAUACAAAUAAAAAAAAAGGUUUUAUUAAUAGGAGUAAUUAUCUCUGCAAUUAAUAUGAUUUCAUAUUUAGAGUUUAGUGUUCACUAUAUUAAUAAUCGAAUUAACAAUGGUGUGUUCUUUUAUUGCGAUGAAAAGUCACUCAUUUUUUUCUAGAAGAAAUAAAUCUAGGGUUUGAUCAUGUGUCAUUCAUCAGCUAUUAAACGUUCUUAAAGGUCAUUAUUAAGUACUAAUUGUUUUCUAGAUCAUUAAUUAAGAGAAGACAAAAGUAAUUAAUUAAGUAAUCAAUAUAAAUUAUAGUUGAAGAAUUCAGUUUAUUUGUGAAGACGCUUAACGCAUUACUAUUAAUCCAGACUGUGUGUGUAUGACAAAAUCUCACAAAGCAAUUAAGAAGAUACUGGAAGUUUCUAUACAUUAAUCCAGACUGUAUAUAUGUUUACCAAAUCCUAAUUCGUCUAACAUUAAUCGCACGCACGAUUUUAUAAUGGGAAAUUUACAGUGUUCAUCCCUCAAGUUUGUAGUGAUUUCACAUCUGGUCAUCUAUGUUCACAAAAAACACAUUUGGUCCCUCAUGUUUCAGUAAUUUGACACUUUUGGUCAUUUCCGUCAAUUUACCAUUAGUCCGUUUUUUACUACAGUGAUGGGUACACGUUUGAUUCCAUUAGUUUUAAUGGAAAAUUGACGGAAAUGACUAAAAUUGUUGAAUUUUUGAAACACGAGGGACCAAAUGUGUUUUUUAUGAAUAUGGGGACCAAAAGUGAAAUCGGUGCAAAUUUAAUGGAUGAAAACUGUAUUUUUCUCAUUUUAUAAUUAAUUAACCCUGUUUAUUAUUAGUUAAAACUAGCUAUAGCCAAUUGUUUAGUCAAAUUGUACUAAUUGGUUCCGGAUUUGGAGGUGAAAAAAAUCAAAUGAUAUCAUUUUCUUAAUUAAUUACGAUUAAAUAAAUUACAUCAAUAAGACACAAUCUUAUUCAUAAGCAUCGAUCAAAACUAUAUAUAUGUAUAUAUAUAUAUAUAUAAUGUGAAAUAUUAAACUUUACAAUAUAAUUAAAAAAAUGGAACUCUAUAAUUUAAUUAAUAAUGGUUGAUUAGAUUUAUAAUCCACGUAGGUAGGUUUACAUGACAAAGCAUCCAUUAGGAUUUUCGUCGCUAAACAUAUGAUCGUUGGCGGUCAGCAAAGUAGGCGGUGGUAGUGGUGGAGGUCCAUGCUGACUGUACUGUGCCACGUAAGCCGCAUUUGAUGAGUAGCCUUGAUAACCAUAGUCAUGAUGAUCAUGGUACAUUGAUGGUACAUGAUGACCAUAGUCAUCUGCAUGAUGAUGAUUGCCAUACAUUGGCAUCACAGCAUAGUAAGUUUCCGGAAUGUAACUAUUAUUAUACUCCAUCUUAUUUACCUCAACCACCUUUGUACUUCCUUCGCCGCCGCUGCCGCCGCCCUUGUUUUUCUCUCCACCACCACCGGCCUCAGCCUUCUUCGGCUCAUCACCUUUUUCUUUGUCACCACCGCCGCCUUCUUUUUCUUUCUUCUCUCCACCACCACCGCCAGCACCACCACCUUCUUUUUCUUUCUUCUCUCCACCACCACCACCGCCGGCGCCUUCUUUUUCUUUUUUCUCUCCACCGCCGGCGCCGGCGCUCUCUUUGACCUUGUCGGCGCCGGCGUCUUCUUUCGUCUUCUCGCCACCAUUAUUAUCAACUUUCUUUGGCGGAGGAACAAUCUCCACUCCUCUCUUUAGCUUCUCCUUCAAAUAAGUUGUGAGCUCCUUGACAUCCAUUGUUCCAAUCACCGUCACUAAAUCCUUUUCUAAAUCCGUCGCUACUGAGUUAACACCUAUUAAUUCAUCAUCACUUCAUUAUUAAUUAAUUGCUUUUUAUUGACAAUAAUUACUUAAUUAAGCUAAGAGAUCCAAAUUCUUAUAAUUAGGUGCACGUAUAUAUAUUCUUAAUUAUAAGAUCAUAUAAGAAUAUUCUUUAAUUUAUUAUAUACACAACCUUAUCUCUUUAUAGCAAUAAACUAUUUUAAUUCGUCCACAUAUGUAUGCACUUAUCUAACAUAAAAUUAGGAGUAAUUAUUAAAUUAAUUUGGUAAUAACUCACCUUCAACAUUCUUUAAUAUAAUCCUCUUUAUCUUAUGUGCGCAUCCGUCACAGUGCAAUCUGAUUUUCAUCACCACAGUACUAACCACCGCCUGCCACCAAUAAAUUAAAAUUAAUAAAUAAAUAAAGCUAAAUCAAUUAAUUAAUUAGGCCAAAAAACAAUUAAAUUAAUAUAACUACGUACCUCUUUGGGUUUUUUAUUCUCAUCAUCACCAGCUUUCUUUUCCGGUUUAUCCUCAGCCUUCUUGUCACCACCUCCUCCGGCGGCGGGGGCGGCGGCGACACCAACUCCGGCGGGCUUCUUGGGCAGAGGGGAGAUGAGAUCCACCUUCUUCUUGGUCUUGGUCUCAAUCUUCUCACGGAGCCAAGUGGGGUCCACAUUCCCCGUGACGGUCAGUUUCUUAGCGUCACAGUCAGCCUUCACUUUCUCGACACCUAAUUAAUUAUUUCACAAAAUUGGGCCACACACCAAUAAUUCUUAGGCCCAUUAAGAUAAGGUUUUGCCCAUAUGCACCACCAUUAUUAAUUUGUACCAUUUUUAAUUAUUAUACAUUUUAUUUAUUAGAAAAUUAAAAACAAAAAUCUAAAUAAUAAUAAUGUUUGCCACCAAAUCAAGAAAACCCGGUUUGGUACUUUUCACCUACUACUGCCCCAUCAUUACCAUAAGUUUUAGAAAUAAGAAAUUUGAAAUUAGAAAUUAAUAAGCCAAUAUGAUUAAUUACUGACUAUGAUUUAUGAGUGAAAUUAAUAAAUGAAUUAUGAACAUAAAAAUUAAAUCUGAAUAAAUUACCUUCCAAUUGGGUAAUGAAGCGUCUGACUUUCUUAGCACAGCCUUCGCAAUGCAAGUCUACCUUCAACACCACCGUGACCGGCGGCGCCGGCCCAUCCUCUUUCAUUCCACCUCCGUCCGCCGCCGCCGCCACCUUUUCUCCUCCAUUCUUAGUCUCAUCUUUCUGAAUAUAUAAACAGAAAAUAAGAACAAUUGAGCAAAACUAAUCCAUUUUCAUCUGCAUUAAUUGUAAUUAGAGGAACUGAGGAAGAUUAAUUACCUCACCCAUUUGCUGUUUUAAUUAUUUUUUUUUUGCAAUUAUAUAUUUUUAAUAGGUGUGUGAGAUUAUUUGAAGAGAGAAAAUGGAGGCAAUUAAUGGCAGGAAUAUAUAGAGCUGGGCGGGGAUUUUGAUGAUGUCAUCACCUCGCCCCCAGCUAAUAAUAAUUGAUUAAAAUAAUAAUAAAAAAAGAUAAAAAUAGAGAGACAGAGUUCUGUACGUAUCUUGUGUGUAUGUGGUGGUUAUGCAUGUGUGAUGUUUUAUGUAUGGGAUGUGAAUUAAAUGGCAUGCAUGAUUGAUGGGGCCCAUGGGAAUUGUUAUUACACUAUAAUAUAUUAAUAUUAAUUUUGAUUAAUUCCUAAAAUUGUUACUUGCUAAUUACAACUAACAAAUUAAACCUCCCAAAGCAGGUUUUUUUUUUUUUUUUUUUUUUUAAAUAAUUUCGCAAUUAUUAAAUGAAGGUUUUAUUAUUACAAAAUUAUUUGUGUUUGAUUGAUGUAACAAAUACAUGUGGUUAAAUAGUGUUUAAUCGUCAAUGUGACAAUCAAUUGAACUUUAGAAGAUGAAAAAAGUAAGCUACAUUCCUUAGACAAAUUGUUGGUGGCGAAACAGAGCUGACUAGGAUUCAAUGUACUAGUUUAAAACUUUGACAAAACUAUAAAGUUUGGAAUUAAAUUAAAUUAAUUUAAAUUAAAGCAUUCAUUUAUCAACCACUUUAAUAUUUUUUUUCGAUUCAACAUGCUAUAAAACCAAAUUUGACUUUGGCAUUUGCACACGAAUGUGGAAUCGCAGCACGUUUACUGUAAACGUUUUUACUUUUUACAUUACAAAUCUAUUUAUACAUGCUAAUUAUACUAUACAUAUAUAUAGGGUGCAGCAGCCAAUCCAUGACUACUCUUUAGGUUAUGAAUUUAUAAUAAUGUUUUUCAAUGAUGUGUGCUGCAUUUGUUAUGUUUUGAUAACAUUUAUUAAUGUCUACAAAUGAGCUAGAGGUUUUGUGUAUUUUCGGCAUACAAAAACAACUCACGUACCAUUGAGUUAACUUACCAGUACAUGCGUAAUCAACUAGUCAACAUGGAGCACUCUCAACCACUCAAAAGUGUUUUACUCGUAAAUGUCCAAUAUACUCACAGAAGAUGGAGAUUGAAGAUAGAAGAUGGUUUGAAUUUGAGAGGAGUGUGUUGCUCUUGUCUUUCUUUAACAAUAAUAUAAACAGCCAUAAAGACAGUGAAGACCUGCAACAAAAUAUUAGUCGAUAAUUUUACCGAAACCUUGAUAACUAGAUUGGGAGUGCGCAUGAAUAGUCGAUAUUUGUGCAAAACUAAACACAAAUUAUUAGUAAUUGAGAUCUUAUAAGAUCACAUAGUCGAUAUUUGUGCAAAACUAAACACAAAUUAUCACUAAUUGAGAUCUUAUAAGAUCACAUAGUCGAUAUUUGUGCAAACCUAAACACAAAUUAUCACUAAUUGAGAUUUUAUACGAUCACAAAAUUAUCACUAAUUGAGAUCUUAUAAGAUCACAAGUAAGAGUAAUGCAACACCAAGAAAUAAUGAGCAGGCUAGGAUAAAACAUAAAAUAUAAAGACUGGAAAAUACUAAAUUGCUGCUAUCAAGUCAAAAAAUCUUAUUUUAAUUUAAGAAUAAUUAUUCUAUAAAAUGAAAGGCUUAAUGUAUUUUUCAUAAAAUGAGAAAUAUAAUAUAUUAUUGUCCUUUUUUUUUUACAGCACAUAAGCUAUAUAAUACUAGUUAUUGUACGAUUGACAAUUUAUUCAAUUUUAAAAAUUAAUUUGAAAAUCUUUAACAUUAUCAUUAAUUAUAUAUAUUACUAUUUUCUAUAUAAUAUAUUAUAUUAUAGCUGUUAUCGAACAUUAAUUUUUUUAAGAAACAAAAUCUUUAUUUUUUUUAUUCUUUUGGAAAAAUCUAAAAAAAAUAUUUCUCUAAAGUUGAAAUGAAAAUUAAAUUUAAAAACAAAUAUAUUUGCGGUAAAAUAGAAAAAAUACAAUAAUAUAUUAUAUUUCUCAUUUUACAAAUUAAAAAAAAAUGCAUUAAGCUUUCAUUUUAUAAAAUAAUUAUUUUUAAAUAAAAACAAGAACUUUUGACUUUAUAGGGGUAAUUUAGUCUUUUUCAGUUUUCUAUUCAAGGGGGCUAUGUGCUAAUUUCAUACCAUAACGGGGUCAUGUGCAAAAUUUCAAAACCACAAGGGGGUUAUGUGCCUAAUUUCAUACCAUAAGGGGGUCAUGUGCAAAAUGUCAAAACUACAAGGGGAUAUGUGUUUAAAUUCAUACCAUAAGGGGGUCAUAUGCAAAAUAUCCAAACCACAAGGGGGUUAAGUGCUAUUUGCCCUUAAUCUUAUUUCAAAAUUAAUUGUAUAUUAGUUUUUGGUUGUUUGGAAUUGAUAUAAGAUUAAUUUUGAUUGUUUAAUAAUUAUUGUCCCAACAAUAAAAUAGUUAAUAGUAUAAUUGAAAUUUAAUUUUGUAGUGGCCAUUUAAUAAAGAGGUAUAUACAGGGAUUUUUAUGAAUUUAAAAUUUUAAAAAAUAAUAACUUUUGGAUGUCUAAGACGUUAAUUAAAAUUUCAAAUAAUAACUUUCUCUAAUGUGUUAUGGUACAUUAAUUUUUGUAUAUCUUAUUAAUAAAAACAAGGUUGCUCCUGAUAAAUCCUAUGGUUUUUUUCUCGUCCAUUUGAUGGUUUUAAUUAUUAUUUAAUUAAUAAAUUUCAUUUAAUAUAAUUAUUUUAUCAAUAAUUAAUAACUUGUUCCUAUUUUAUUGGCUCGACUCUAUGCAAUUAACUAUUUGAUGAUUUUAAUUAUCAUUUAGUUAAUUAAUUUCAUUUAGUAUAAUAUAUUUUAUUUAAUAUUAUUUAUUAACAAAAGAACCGAUUUUCUAAAAUCCGUUCGCGCGUGUGUGUAUAUAUAUAUAUAUACUAGGUGAGUAGCACCGUGCAAUGCUUGGUGCCGGUGCCCUGUUUAUAUAUAUUUGCAAAAUGUAUUUUUUUAUGCUAGCGUGAGUUUGAAGGGGAUAACGAUAUGCUACGUCGAAGUUUCUCCCAUUUCCUGAUCAAUAUUAGAAGACUGAAUAUAAGGAUCACAUUAAAACAGAGCAUUGUAUAUUGUGAAACGGGCUAUGAAAUAAGAGAUAAGAUUGAUAUGUAAAAAGGUAAAAGACCAAAAAUUAUAUUUAUUAAUGAUAUAGAGCUGAUGUUAUACAAGUUAGUAUUCUAUGAUAUGUAAAUGAUAGAAUGUUCGUACAUAAUCGGAUUAAGAGAAUCAUUUGAAUCACUUAAAAUGGGCUUUUAAUCAGAUUGGGCUGCAUUUAAGGGAACAAUUGGAUCAGGCCCAAUUAAAAAAUAAAUCCUCACAAUCGGUAGUAUCGCCCCAGCGGAACACGCGAAAGAUGCCCGAGGGAGAGAAAAACGAGGCGAAAAAGUGAUAACGGAAAUGGAAAAUUGGGAGAAGAGAGAGAGAGAGAGAGAGGGGAAAAAGAAGCAAUGAGAUGGCCCGGCGGAUCUCCACGGGCGAGGCGUGGGUGAUGGACAGAAACCCUCCGAUAUUUGCCGCAGUGUUGAACGAUGAAUUGUUGUUUAGCUGGUUCGAUUGAAAUUUCGGCGUCCGUAUCUUAGCUGCAUGUCAUUGAUGCGCUGGUAGAUGUUACUUUUGUUCUUGUGUUGUGCUUGAAUGUGGCUAAUAACGGUUGAUUUUCAGUUUGUGAUGGCUUAUUGCUGAAUUUGGAGCUGAAUUUUGGUUUAUUGCUGACAGGUUUGACAGUGGAGUAGUGGUGGUGCAUGCGUGUGUUGGAUGUUAGCCAGUGCUCAGCUCUGGUGGGGGUUUCGACGAUUCAUUUGUUGCGAGGUUAUUUCGAUAUAUUCUCGUGGCUUUAGGCAUUUGGUUCUGGCUGUGUUUUGAAUUGACUGUGUAGUUUCUUAAAAUUAACGUUUGGAAAUAUUGAUUGAACAAAUCGCUUAUGAGGACUUGAAUUUAGGCUGUUCACAGUGAUUUCCGUCGUGUUUUUUCUUCAAGUUUUAGGCAUACGAUUUAUAAAUAGCGAUAACUUUGAUUUUGAAUGAUUGAAGAAUUAAAAUAAAUUGAAUGUAGUAAUCUAUCAACCACCGUCAUAUAUCUGAUGUAUUUAUAAAAUGCUGUAUUUGUCUCGUUAAGUUUCAUGGAUAAAAUAUUUAUUCUCCAGAUUUGGGUGAUUCAGCACGACUUAUUUAUGAUGGUAUAAUCAAAUCUCUGGUCGUAACAGUUUCUGUUCCGAUUAAUUCUGAAAGAUAUGUUUGAAUUGAAUAUAACUUGAGCUUGACUCACAAGUUUACUAAUACUGAUGAAAAUCUCCUUAAAGUUGAACUUUCUUGUUUGGUGGUUUUCAGGCAAGAAUGUACUUGGGGUCCGAUCUGGAGCUUGAGCUCGACAGAGUAAUAGAAGAUCUUUAGGGUAUCGUGAUGACAAAUCCGAAUAGGUUUGUUCAAUUCUUAUGUACCACUAUCUUGAUGAACAAACUAACCAAUGGUUUACAGUCAUAGUUAUUUUGGUGCUUUGGUCAAGUAUAUAAUUCCAGAACUUGAGUUUCAUGGUUUAAUUAAUUUGAAUUUAAGCUCAUAGAUUCCAUAAUAGCAUCGCAUUUUAUUCUUAAUUCCAUCAUACUUGCAUUCUCUAUUUCGUCAUCUGAUUCCUUUCAACUUAGAUUUUGGUUCCCUGAAUCUUUUCAACUUUCUACUUUCUGAUAAAGAUGUCAAUUCUUUUUAUAAACAUAUACCUAGAAAGAAAGAGACAAUUUAAAAAGGAAUGGAUAUGCGAAUAUCUACUAGCGUGUAUAAGGAAUAAUGAACUUUAUUAGUCAUUAAUUAGGCAUGCAAAACAUGAAAGACAUGCAAUGUUGACAUUAUAAAAUUUAUUUUCAUGCUGCAUAGAUGUGUGAAAUUUAAUUUACAGCCUCCCAGUGCAACUUUGCAAAUCGCAUCAAUAAUGACCAAAUUUGUUUAUGUUUGGUAGUGGAUAUAUAGACACACACACACACAUAUACACGUACAAAUGGAUAUAUUUUCUAUUUGUCAAGGGAUAUUAAAACAUGACUAAUUAAUGAAUCAUAUAGUCUGUAGAGGUUGGAACAAAUUUUGAAAUCUCACGAGCUUAUCCAUGGCAAAUUUCAUACCUUCUCCGCCAUUGCAGAGGAGAAUUUCGUUUCUUAAAUGCAUGAGAUUUUAUUUUAUAAUCUAAUACUAUUCUUACCAUAGUGCUUUCUCUUUUGCAGAUGCACGGGAUUUGUGGAUUCAGUUCUAUAUUUCAGGGUCAUUGUUGAACCACAUGCUUGGGACUAGUUCUUGGGGAGUCAAGAAUGUCAUAUAUAGGAUAACUAACUUAAAUUUAACCACUUAAACAUUACUUGUUAGUUGUUUAACAAAGCCACAUGUAUAUGGAGCUUACUUGUGGUUAACAACAUUUAUUUUAAUUACACCAUGGCCUUAUUUAACAUUUAUACAUUAACAAAAAUAAAAAAAUUAGAGAACUCCGACCACCUAUACGUAUAUAUCAAGUAGACAUUAGAGCCCAUAGGUUUCACUAGGUCAUCUUAAUUGGGUACAAAUGUCCCAAUAUACCCAACUCCGAUGAUGAAGAACGCCCCCGCUUGUAGUAGUAGGUAAAUAAAGAAGUGGUUGUGGCCAUAUAGCAUAUUGUAUAUCGCACAAUGCAGCAAGUACAUUCCUACUACGAUCUCCAAGAUGUGAAUCCUGUUCAUAACAUGCAUUUGCUUAAGUUAGUGCACUACAAUCAUUGAAUAUGUUAAGUGGUAAGUGUCAUGUUUGAUCAGUGAAAGGUUCUAUUCCUUAUAAAAAAAAUUAUUGUUGUUGAGUUAGGGCCUGUGUUACCUUUCUGUGAUUCGCGAUCGUGGUCUCUUGAAUGUUUUUGCAUUGUACUUUUGCUUCAUUGUGUUCCCAAGCUUUUCAGUCACAACCCAUUCGUUAACUCGGUUGGCUUCAAGGAGUCCUAUUAUUGCUGCCUUUGAUCUAUGAAGAGACAUAACAUUCUCAAACAGUAUCCAAAACACGAGAAGAUGCAUAGACCUGUGAUAAAGUAAGUGCAAUUAUGCAUCAGUUAGUAUGACAUCGAGAUUUACAAAAUUUGAUUAAAAAAUAACUAAAUUUCUCUUAUUUGGAUUUUCAUGCCUGAAAGUGGAAGCUGCGUUCAGAAUAGUAAUGCAUGCUGGGAGAUAAAUGGCGAGCGGUCGUGGGAGAUCGACUUCAGGAACUAGGAUCGUGGCUGGGAUUAUGAUGCAGUAAAAGAAAAAGGUAACCCAGUGGGCUAUUAUUUUCCUUACAAAGAAAAAUGCAUAAAUUACAUGCCAUUUCUUCCAGAUUGACACACGCUGCAUUAGAUAAGAACAAACCAUGUUAGUUUUCAUAAUUACCUCGAACAAAAUCCUAGAUUUAUUACCUCGCAAAGAAUGAUUUCCUUGAACAUUUUCCUGAAGAGAUUAGCAGGUCCACAUGACCAGCGAUGCUGUUGAUAUCUGUAUGCCUUAAAUGUGCUCGGUAGUUCAUUUUUGACCUGAAAUAAGGGGAUUGUGUUUGAGUUGCUGAAGUUUUAUCUCGUAACAGUAAUUAUUAAAUUUAAGCGAAGAAUUCAAAACUCACUUCUAGAUCUCCAACAAAUAGGAAUUUCCAUCCCUUGAGGCUAGCCCUAACUGCAAGGUCCAUGUCCUCUACUGUGGUUCUAUCUUUCCAUCCACCAGCAUCAAUCAGUGCUCUAAUCCUCCAAACACCGGCAGUCCCUACAGUUUAUUUCAAAUACAAAAUAUCAACUUUUUUCUUCCCUAAAAAUUUCUUACUAUAUACAAAAUUCUGUAAAGUGAAAUAGACUUUGCCGACAACCAUUGAAUCCGAAGAAUGAACAUGUUGAGGAGCCCACUUCUUGUUCAACACUGAAGUGAUAGUGUAGUGACAUCUCCUGGAGGCGCGUCAUUAGACAUUCAUCUGCAUUCACUGCAAAGUAAACUUGUCGUUAGGUUAGUUGUUCGAGUUGUUUGGUGUUCAAUGAACUUUACCUCCAUACUACAACAUUAUAGUGUAGGAUGCCUUACCAAAUUUCCACCUGGCUUGGACCAAGGCCAACUCUGGAUUUUCAAGUAGGUAGGGGACAGUUCUCCAUAGAUAAUCUUCUGCUGGCUGAAAAUCAGCGUCGAAGAUGACAACAAAUUCACAAUCGUUCACGUAAUGCUUCUUUAGACCCUCUCGGAGGGCUCCAGCCUUGUACCCGUUCCUGUUGUUCCUUGUCUCGUACUUGACAUUCACCCCUUUCUCUAUCCAUUUUCGGCAUUCUAGUUCCACCAUUGUCUGCAUGAAUAUUCUAUGGAGUCACUUAUACAGUCACGUAUUGUGAUAGAGUCAAACUAAAAUUUACUACAGAGAAAAAAUGAUACCCGUAAUGCUUCAUUGGUGGAGUCAUCAAGAACCUGUACGAUGAGCCGAUCUGAUGGCCAAGAUAACCCGCAUGCAGCUCCAAUUGAGAGCUUAUAAACCUAAGGCAAAAAGAAGCUUUUGGUUUAGUUCCUCCUCUGAUUAGAUUAAAUUUGAAGAGGGUUUUAUUUGUAAACUCUUUCCUUUAAACCUCUAAAUUGCUUAAGCAUAAGGUCUAAUACAAGGAAUCUCAUAAUUCCGAAUAGGUUUUACUGAUGUUCAAUUCAUAUGGACUACUCCUAGUAUUGGACAUUUUAAAAAAACAAUAGACAUUGUCGUUUUGUUAGUAGUGAAAAAAAGGAGAUGAGGUAAAGUUGUUUUGACUUCCUUUUGCUAAAAGGAACAUUAACCUUCUUCUGAUAGACGGAGUAAAUUUAUUUCUACAUUGGUCCUUUUGCGGGAAUAAUGAAAAAGGAAAUCUGACCAUUUUAAUACAUGAAUUUUUUGAAUGCAAUAUCCAGCAUUAAGGCUCAUGAUUAUGUAGAUUUUGAUUGCAUUAGAUAAAGAAUCAAACAACAACUUAGUUAGAGUUCUUUAUUAGGCAUCUGUUAGCAUAAAUAUCAAUCUUUAUGUUCUUGUUCAGAAGACUUGUUGAUUUAUACUAGCUAAUUGAGCAUGUAAUUAUACGACUGAAAAAAAAAAUCAGUUGCUUACCUCUUUCUCGUUGAACAUUGGGAUUUGGACCAGCAACUUGGGGUGUUUCUUGUUUUUCUCUAGGUCUUCUUUUAUUGCAUCCAGCUGGUACUUGGUGUAUCUUUUCUUGCCCAGGCAUUUGACACAGACAAUGACAACUGCCAUGUAAAUCCGUUCAAUGAAAAGCAUAACGGACAUGGUCAAACAUAUGUAUACUGCAGUUCGUAAAAGAGGUACAAUAAUCGGAACUCGUAUACAAUCCCAAGCAUAACUGAGCCUUCUCGCUGGAUCAUAGGUCUCUAUGGCCUCGGCCUUGUCAAAAAAUCUGCUUCUCAUUGUGAGAAUAUAAAAAUAAUUAGAUUUUUAGUGUAGAAAGAAAAAAAUAAAUUGUAUCAGAAGUCGGACAGAGAGAGGGAGAGAGAGAAAAGGCGAGAGCUCUGGUAAUGAGGGAACUGAAAGCAAUGUGGGCAAUGUAAUAUUUUGCUUUAAAUAGGCACAGGGAACACAGAGGCAUGGGUGAGGGCUCAUUUAGGCUUAGGUGUAAGGGUGGACAACAGAAAGUGAUCUACUAAACGUAAUCUUUCUUAUUGUGAGGUACACGCGGUGCGCAUGCAAGUGAAUUUGCUGCAACGUAGCAUUUGCUAGCUGGCAAUCUGUCCUUUUCCUGCCGAUGUGUAGUUGAAGAUAUAAAAGUUAGAUCAUCAUGAUUAAAUGUCAUUUGUUCUUACAUUAAUUAUUGGUAUACGACAUUCUGGUUGAGUGUUAGAGAUAGAGUUCAAUUGCGAUGUGGUUUCCGAGGUCAUCUAUAAUGCGUUUUAGGUGUAACGUCCCUUGUUUUCUGGCCUCCUGUUUUCAUUUCCCCCUAUUUCACCGAUAAAUAUAUUGGAAUUAAUUUUAGUCCCUUGAUUUAGUAUUUUACUAUUGACGUUGGCAUCUAUGAGUCAGUCAACAUCGAGUAUUUAUGUAAAAAUAGAUUAAAAAGAAGGGGGGAGGAAAUACAUGCCAGAUUUUAGUAUAAUCUAAAGUUUAGUUAAUCGUAAAUAUUUAAAUAGGUUUUAUAGUUUAUAAAAUCUGCCAAAGGCGAUCGUCAUUACUUGCAUGAAUACAACUCAAUUUUUGUCUUUUCACUAUGAAGUUGCUGGAAUAAUGCUCUUACUUUUCUUAAAUCUAAUCUAUAAGGACAAUAUUGAAAUUUUAUCAAAAUAAGUAGUAAAUUAAAGUUUGUUCUGCAAAUAUAUUAACUCUUAUAUUAACAAUUUAAAGCUGAAUUUCAAUAGCAAAUGACAAUUGUAGGAAUUUUUUUUCUCCGUUUUUUUUGUUUUUAUUUUUAAUUUCGGUUUGUAAUUUAAUAGCAAAAUAGUUUCAUCUAUUUGAAUUAUUUCCUUUUGUGUUAUAAAAUCUAGUUUGCAUGUGAUCUCAAUUUAACAUUUAAGUUGAAUGAAACAGGAACUCGAAUACAUUACAUCGUAGUUGUUCAACUUGCAUGGCCUAGCAAAUAACCGUGACAUAUGAAGCAUGAAGCCUGUGGAGUAAGUCUUUACAUUGUUAUGGUCGCAAUUUUCUUGCCAUAACUCGAUUUCUGUAGUUCUUUGAAAUGGUUACAUUAUAUCCUCCUACAUUCAUAGUGUCACAUUUUCCCCCAUUGUUUAGUAGCCACUACUUGUGUAUUGAGUAGCCAUGCUCAUAAAAUUUCCUCGUUUUUUUACGCGUCUUGUGUAAAUUUACUUUAUCACUGUUCUUCUAUGUGAUCUCUUUGAAUUUUCAGUAGUCAGAAUAUUUUCAUUGAUCAAACAUUGCAUGAUAUCAUAUUACAUUGUUUCACACUAGCUUUAAGCAUUUUAAAUAUGCAACAAGGACCUAUAUCUUGGAGGUCACAGUAGGUAUGUAGGUGAUGCAUUGUGCGAUCUACAAUAUGUCGACUCCAACCUACUUUUUCAUUUACGGCUUUUCCUUAAUUGGAGUCUGGUAUAUAUUGGAAUACUUUCUACCCGAUUGAAGCUGAAGAGGGUGAUAGACACAACAUUUACUGAAUACAUUCUAGUGGUUAUUUGAAGUUAAAAUAGCUACUAUACAUAUAUUAGCUAUUUUUAUCUGGCAUUGACCACCAGAUUGUCAACACGUCGGUAUGAUUAACUUUUAGGUUAGGUGAAAUUCCUUUUCAAUUUAACAAGAGUUUUCAACAUAGAACCUUUAUGACAUUCCUGAACUCUCCAAUACUAUUUCCCCAAGUAUAAGCAUGUGGUCCAUCAUGAACCUCAACCGAAGUUCAGCUUCCAAGAAAAGGGUCUACAAUAUAUACGAAACAUGCAGCACUCUCUCCCAAGCAACUGUAAGUUUUCUAAUUUCUCGCCCUAUUGAUAUUUACCUUUUUGGAUAUGAACAAAACAUCUGAUUUAAAAAGAUUUAUACUCUCACAAGCAACUGGUAAGUUUCUAUUCGGCAACUACUUCACAUAGACUGUCGUACGUGACAUUUUAAUUUUCUGCAGGAACUCUAUUCUACUUGUAUGAAAAACAUUGGGCAGUCGAAUAUAUCUCUUGACGUCAUACAUUAGCAUUAAGCUUAAUACGAGAGAUAUUUUCAAUAUGGUGUGCAUAGCCCUCAGUAACCAAAUCCAGGUAACAAUUUCUCAACUUGUCUGUCUUCGAUUUCUUUUUAGGCAGUACAGGUUCUAAAUAUUUAUAGCUUGCAAUUGUAAACCUUAGAAGGUGGACUGCUGUGUUUACCCGUAACUUUCAUUUUGCAGAGACUUAGUAGCACGUCUGCCACUCCAUAUCAUCGUGCAUUGAAUAUUCUCUCACAAGUCACAACAAUGACACCAGAAUUUGUGGAAGAACAUUUGUCCUUGUUACAGUCAUCGGUACGAGGCAUGUCAAUUGUAGUUAAUAGCCUCUCCUGAUCUCGUAUUUAGCUACAUUCUUGGCGGGAAUUUCGGAAUGUAAUGGCAGAAUUGAUUAUAAUAAAUACUGAUGGUAACAACCUUGUAUAUUUCUGAAAUUUUGCUUACUACUACGUUUCAUUUCCACUGCCAAACGAUUGAAUUGGGCCCAGUCAGAAAUUCCCAGAUUGCAGCCCAAAUCUAUGUCUUCUCUUCAGCCUUGGACAAUUGAUUCGACUUCUUCAAAACGGUGUCGUUGGCAGCAGACCCAAUUUCUCCCAUCUUCGUCUCUAAAUGUGCACCAAGAUUGCACAUUGUGGGGAAAUUCUAUGCUACACCUGGUGAAUAUAACCAGGCACCCUAAUUAAUAAGAUUCCCACUACGGGUUCAGUUAUGGCCCAAUGGGUUUUUAGAAAUAUAAUUAUAAAAUAAAUAAAGAAGGACACAUGUCAAGAAAAGAGCCACCCGGUGAAAAUCACCGGGUGUAGCAUCGUAUUCCCCGCACAUUGUGUACGUUAAAAAACAUAUUGUCUUAAAAAGAUUUAAUUUGAGGGCACUGGAAAUGAAAUUAUAUAGGGUAAAUUACAAACACCCCUGAGGUAUGGUUAAAUUAAAAAAACCCCCCUCUGUUUGGAUAAUUACAUCUACCCCUCAACUAUGAUUUUUUCUUAGAUCUCCACCUUUAUGGUGCCAAAUUCAACAUAGUCAUCUAGAUUCCGUGAAAUGUGCUCCAGUUUGUACUUGUUUUGUGUAAAAAUACUAGGGUUGUGCAUGGAUCGGUUUUAACCACCAACCAACCCAUUUUCGACCCAUAAUUUGUGACGGAUAAUCAACCAUCAACCGACCCAUUUAAGUUGGGUCGAUAAUCUCAACCAACCCAUGUAUAGUUGGGUCGAUAAUGGUUUCUAAUAUGCUAUAAAGUUGGUUAGUCGGGUAAUAUCGGCCAACCAACUUUAUUUAUUAAUUUUAUUUAAAAUAUUUAAUAUUUUUAAUUUCAAAUUUCUAUUUUAUAUCACAUUUAUUAAAUUGUUUAAUAUUGACCAAAAUCCUAAAAGCAAUAAAUCUAACCUAAUUAUAUAUUUUGAACUAUUUUAAUUUUAAGACACAUAGUCUAAAUAUUUGGACGAUUAUUAUUUGUUGAACUAUUUAUGUUUAAUUGCAAUAUAUAUGGCCCGUAAUGUUUUUAAUUAUUUUUUAUUUGAAUAUUGUUGAACUAGUCAUAUUAAAUUUAUAAAAUAUAUAGCGUUGUAACAACUAAUAAAAUAUUAAAUAAAAUUAAAAAAAUAUUUAGAUGGAUGACCCAUCAACCAAACCAUCAACCGACCCACUAAAUUGGUUUUCAACCAUCACCCAACCCAUGUAAAUUGGGUCGAUAACGGUUUCCAAUAUUGACCAAAGUUGGUUGGAUGGGUUGGGUUGGUUUUAUGGCUGGUUUUUAACCAAACCAACCAACGCACAGCCCUAAAAAAUACAAUUUCUGAUGCACCACAAACUGAUAUAUACAAGCUAAAAAUCACAUAUUAUGAUCAUCUUGCUUCAUAAUGUAGAGUUUGAAUGGGAUAAAACGGGUACAAAAGUGAUAAUAUUCCAUAUAAUCUCGAAGAUUCCACUAAAUUUGAUGAGUUGAGGGGAUGGUUGUAACUAUCCAAACAAGAGGGGUGUUUUUGUAAUUUGACCAUACCUCAGGGGUGUUUGUAAUUUACCCAAAUUAUAUAUGAUAAAAAUUAAAAAUAAUGCACAUGCUAUAGUAUACUACAACGAAAUUAAUUAUAAAAAAAAUAAAAAAAAAAAGUAAUAAUCUGGAUUUCAUCUUGACGAGGGUGUGAGUCUCUGCAGCUGCAUCAUACGAGCAUAUAUCCCAUCAGGAUAAUUCUUCAAGAGAUGAGAAUGGGAGCCCUGUUCCGCCACUUUCCCAUCAUCAAGCACCGCAAUCACGUGCGCAUUUCUGAUCGUCGAAAGCCGGUGCGCCACCACGAUCGUCGUCUUCCCCGCACAAGCUCGUUCCAGCGCUUCCUUUAUACACCUCUCCGACUCCACAUCGAGCGCGCUCGUCGCUUCGUCCAGCAACAUUAUCUCCGCCCUCCUCAACAAUGCUCUGGCAAUAGCAAUUCUCUGCUUCUGCCCCCCCGACAGCUGCACCCCUCUCUCCCCUACAAACGUCCUGUAUCCCUCCGCCAGCGACCCUAUGAAUUUAUCCGCGUCCGCCAUUCUCGCUGCCUCGACGACCUCCGAUUCCGUCACCGACUCACCCCCGCCGUAGGCGAUGUUGUCGUAUAUGCUCGUCGCGAAUAGGCACGGCUCCUGUGGGACCACCGCCACGUGGCGCCUCAACGACUUGAGAUUGUACUUUCUGAUAUCCUUCCCGUCCACGAAAACACGACCCGACGACGGCUCGUAGAAUCUCUGUAUCAGAGAUAUCACGGAGCUCUUGCCGCACCCGCUUGGUCCAACUAGGGCUAGUGUUUUCCCGGGCCGGGCCCGUAGGUUCAAGUCGCGGAAGAUCGACACGUCGGGCCGGUUCGGGUACGAGAAAUCGACGUGCUUGAAUUCCACUUCACCACGGAGCUUCUCCGGGUUGGAGUUGUUGGUGGUUUCCGGCGGGUCGUCGGGGUCGAUUUCGGUUCUCCGGUCGAGGAGGGAGAAAACGGAACGCAUCGCUCGGCCGCCCUUGAUGAAAUCGGGGGCUAGGGUUAGGGUUUCGGCGGCGCCGUUUGCGGAGACCAUGAGCACCAUGAAGACGCGAAUGGUUUUUGAGAAGUCGGAGAUUCCGUUCUUCACGAGGUACGAGGCGUACCAUAACCCUAACGCGUAGGAGGCGUAGAGUGCGAAUUGGGCGACGCCGUAACCGAUCCCGGCGACCUGCCCCUUCCAGAAGCACCGCCGGAGCGGCGGUUGCAGACUGGCGAUGAAAAGGUUGAGAAUUUUUGACUCCGAAUUGAAUGCCGCUACUGUUCUCACAUUCGCCACCGCUUCCCCCGCCAGCUGUGUUGCCUUGGAGUGCGCCGCCUCCAAGUCGCCGGAGAAUCCAGUCAUAAACAUUUUCUGUCCAAAACACACACACACACACAACAAUGAUUUUUUAUUUUUUUUUAAUUUAUUUUUCCACAAAAAAAUAAUUAAAAAUUAACCUGUAAGACAGUAGCUGCAACGACGAGAGGAAAAACAGCAAUCAGAACAAGUGCAAGCCGCCAUUGGAGCACAAAUCCAGCAGUGCAAGCCACAAGCAUAAGAGCAGAGUUCUGCAUAAUAACAGAAAUCCGAUCUCCGAUGGCAGAUCUAACGUUGUUCGCAUCGAGCGCCAGCCUGGCGGAAACCCUAGAGCUCUCGUUCUCUUCCAUGUCGAACCAGGCCAUUUCAUUCUUCAGCACAGCCACAAGCAUCUUCUCCCUCACGCGCUUGGUCAGAUUCUCCCCGACAACGUCCCAAUAGAAAUGCUGCAGGGUAUUAAAAACGAGCGCAGCCGAAGAAACUCCGAUCAGAAGGUAGCAGUACUUCCCAAUCUGUUCGAUCAUGUAAGCAUGGUCCAGGCUGUAGUACACGCUCAUAACAGCACUCAGCACAUAGGCGAAGAACGCGCUAAGCGAGCCGCAUACGACCGAGCCUAUUGAACCGAUCAAUGCGUAACCCCAUUCCGGAGAAUUCAUCUUCGCCAGACGCAAAAAGGAACUCGCUUGCUCUUUGAAAGCCAGCUUUUCGAGACGGUAAUUAGGGUAUGAAGAGGCUUCCAUGGAGAGGCUGAAAUCCGAUGUGGAGAAAUCGGAUAAUCUUCUCGAGUAAGGCGAUCGCCCGUAAGAAGAGUUCCUCGUGAUUAUCGGUGAACUCACCGAGUUUCUUGCACUAGACUGCCUGUAAUAAAUUAUAUAAAAAAAGUAAGUGAUUAAAAAGUCACUAAAUUAAAUAAAUAUUUUUUUACGAGAUUUUUUUUGAAGGACCUUGCGCUGCUUUUUCGAGCAGCUUCGAGGGCGGCUUCUUGGAUGGUGAUGAGGUUGGAGUAGAGGCUGUUUUGGCCUUUCGAGAUGAGGUCUUCGUGGGCCCCCAUUUCGUGGAGGAUGCCUUGGUGGAGAACGGCGACGAGGUCGGCUUUGCGGAUGGUGGAGAGGCGGUGGGCGAUGACUAGGGUGGUUCUACCAAUGAUGAAGCGGUCGAGUGCUUCUUGGACUAGCUUUUCCGAUUCGGAAUCUAGUGCGCUCGUUGCUUCGUCUAGGAGAAGGAUUGAUGGGUUUUUCAGCAUUGCUCUUGCUAUUGCUAUUCUCUGCUUUUGCCCGCCGGAGAGUUGUGUUCCUCUCUCUCCUACCUGAGUAUCGUAGCCGUCUGGUAGCUUAACGAUAAACGAAUGCGCAUUAGCCACUCUAGAAGCUUCCUCGAUUUCGAUCAAACUCGCAUCUGGUCUUCCCAAUAAUAUAUUUUCUUUAAUGGUGGUUGCAAAUAAAGCCGGUUCUUGGCUCACCAGACCAAUUUGCUGCCUCAGCCAUCUCAAUUUCAAUCUCUUGAUAUCAUGCCCAUCUAGCAUAACUUUCCCUGUAUAUGUAGCAGUUAAAAACUAUUUAGUUAACCCACAAAUUCAAUAUUUUUUUGUCCAUUAUAUAGUAAUUGGAAAAUAUACCUGAAGAGGGAUCGUAAAAUCGCUCGAUGAGUGAUACAACUGUGCUUUUACCAGAGCCACUGCUGCCGACCAAGGCUAUUGUUUUUCCGGCAGGAACAAUGAGAGAGAAUUUGUUGAGUACUCGGCUUUCGGGUCUCGAUGGGUAGGAAAAGAUCACAUUUUUAAGCUCUAAUUGACCCGUUAUUGAUUCUAGUUCCAAACCCGAUUCUUUGUUUCGUUCGACGCUUGGUUUGUGGUCGAUUACACAGUAUAUUUUAGCUGCUGCGGCUCUUGCCUUUGCGAAUGCAGCCAUGCUUGGUGCAGAUUGCCCCAAAGCCCUAUACAAAAAAAAAAAGAAAUAAUUUUUUUUUUUCAUUUUUCUUCUCGAUCGAAUGUUGUUUGAAAAAAUUGCUAUUAAUGAAUUGACUUACAGGCCACCAAUCAUGACGGCAAACAUGGUUGAUAUCGCAAGCCCUCCGUUUGUGUAAUGGUGCCUAACUAGAUAACCUCCAUACCAGAGGAGAAGUGCAUAGCAGCAAAAUACGGUGAAAUAAGUUGCUCCUAAUCCCAUUCCUUUAGCAAAUCCGGUUCUGUAACCGAUUUUUUGCGAAACUUUGAGGGCUGCUGAGUAGGAUUGCAGCGCUCUCGAUUCGCCCACGAACGCCAAAACUGUUCGAAUUUGGCCUAUUGUCUGCAUUAGUAGAAACAGAGCAAUAUUCAAGGUGUUGUCCAAUAAUGUAUUCUAUAUAUAUAUAUAUAUAUAUAUAUAUAUAUAUAUAUAUAUAAACACCUGCUCUGCAAUAUUUCCUGCUUGGGAGAGAGCUUGUUGGCUCUUGCCGGAGAGUUUCGCUAACGUGACGGCAUGAAUACCUCCGAUGACAGCUAUUAGAGGAACGACGGCAAGUGUGACGAGAGCUAGCUGCCACACUGCAGUGAAUCCCACGACAAAUCCAGACACAAAUGUUGCCAUGUAAUGUAAGAAAUUCCCCAACUGCAGACAACAAAAAUUGAGUUCCAAAAAUCACAAUUAUAUGUCAAUUACAAAAAAAUAAAAUAAUAAAAGGGUUCUUUAUCUUGGUCGACCUUUUCACUAAUGGCAUCUUGAACAAACACAGCUUCGGUGUUAAUGGCGAAAACUACAUCGGAUGUACGGACUUGUGUAUCGAAGAAUUGAAUAUCUUGGUUCAGAGCAGCUUCUAAGUAUUCGAUCCUCAUUUUUGUUGAUUGUCUUUCUCCACUCCACAUCCAACAUGAUAUCUCUGCAGAAUCAAUCUACUAUUAAAAUCCUAAUUUUUUCAUUAAAUAAAGAUUACAUUUUUAAUUUUUAUUUUCUUAAUCGGUGGUGUUUUUGGGUUAUACCUGCCCAUGAAGAUGCCCAAAUAGCAGCUCCAACUACAAGAAAGUAAUAAGCAUACUGCAAAAAUAAUCAUAAUCAAGAUUCAAGACAGAGAAAACUAUAAUGUAACUUCAAAUUUGUGAAAGAUCAAAGAUUGGAUUUUUACCUUCAAAACUUCUUCCGUCAUCUUAUCGACAUUGUCGGCAUUAGAACCGAAGGAAUUAACGAGAUCGGCGAAGAAUCGAAGGAACAACGGCAACGAGCUGCCAUGAACAAUGGCGCCAACUGUACCGAUUGCCAUUAGAAAAUAAUCAAGCCCAUCGGCGAACCGGAACAGCUCUCGAAACCCGACGGAAGGCGGCGGCGGGGGAGGAGGGGGAUUCUCCGGUGCACCGCCGCCGUGUUUCUUCUCGCCGGAGGUGGAAACCUCCAUUGCUGGUAGUUUGAGCUGUCCGGUGCUUUGUGGUGCAGUUCGUGCAGUUGAAGAAGAGAGGUAAUUAUCCGGUGAGGUUGAUGAGACAACAAGUUCAAGGUCCUGCAGUUCGGACAACUUCCAUUGCUCGAUUGUAUUUAUCUCCUCACAAUCUUCUUCCACCAUAUUUUCUUUAAUUUGUUAGCUUCUUAAUUACGACACACAGAAAAAUUAAAUUAAUAAAUAAAUUAAUUAUCAGGCCACCAAUUUGUUUUUUAUUACAAUUAUAAAACAAAUCAUGCUUCUAUGCCUUUAUUUUUUUGUUUCUUCGCGCUCAUUUAUUCUUCAAUGGCUGAUCUUCUUGAUUUAUUUUAUUCAGAGUUUUAAUAUUUAUAAAUGUUUUUUUUUAUUACAUGUGGGGAAAGCAAGCAUCAGUGAGUGUGUGUGUGUGUGUGUGAGAGAGAGUGUGAAGUACUGGACUUUGGCACCCGACAAAAAUUACUGUGUAAAAAUGUAGAUACAAAAUUGAUGGAAAAGAAACAAAUAUUACAUUCGAUAUAUGUAUGUAUAUAUAAUAUAUAUGUGUAAUCAAGUUUGGUAGAUGCAGUAAUUUAUAAUUGAAAUGGGACUGUAAUAAAUUACACUUUUCGGGUUGAUAGGUGUUCAUUGCCACACUGAGUCAUUUAUUUAUUAAAUUAAUUUUUUUUUUUUAUGAAUAUAUUUUAUUGCUUGUGGAAAUUGUGUAGCUUCUUAUACAAGUUAAAACUUGUGGAAGAAAUUGAGUCCAUGGUCAAACUAUGUACUUUCUCUAGUCUCACUCUACCCUUUAAAUCCGGUUGUUUUUCUUCUACUUUAUUUCGUUUUGUUAAUUUAUUAAUUUUACAACAAAAAAAAAGAAAAAAAGAAAUAAAAAAAUGCAUCAUAAAAAUUCGUUAGGAUCAUUUCACACUCAAAUCGACUCUAGACGGUACGAGAAUUCAAAAAAAAUCUUGGAAAUUAUGAAUUACAUAACUUGAAUUCUGCAAGUUUUUAUCUUGUGGUCAAUUUGGGCUUGAGUUAAUAAUAUGUUUAUAUUCGAGCUAAUUUGGAUCUAUUGAUGUGUACUCUGAACGAACCCAAACCGAACCGAAAUCGAAACCUUAUCAAUUACUUAGGGUGAAAGUAGGUAAUUUUAAUUCAUAAUUUUUUAAGAAUUAAAGAUUUUUCUUACAAUCCUAUAAGAAAUGUAUUGAACUACUAAUAAUUGUAGAAGAGAAUAAAACAACUAAGAUACAAUCACUUCUCCACUAAAACACCACAUAUUUCCACCAAAACUUGAAUUAAUUCAUCCAACUAAAAAGUUUUUGAGCAGGUACAAAAAACACCAUCACCUGGAUUUAUUUAAAAAAAUCAAUAAUUUUUGUCAGAAAAUCAUCGCAAAAUCUGCAGAUUCCUCUCCCUAAACACUUGUUUAAAGUAAAAGACAGAAUAAUUACUGACAAUUUUAAUUAGUGACAUUUUCUUAGUGUAAAGGGGUGAUAAUUAUUAAUUAGAUUACAUACACUAUGUGUAAUUAGUUGCUUUAAUCAGGUGUGCUUUAGAUUAUUCUUAAAGGAAAAAAAAUUAACCUGGAAAAAAAUCAGCUGCUUUUAAGCUAAAAGAAUAUGCUCUAAAGCAAACUUGGAUCUGAUCAAAUGAGAACCACAUCAGCUUUUUCUUUUUUUAAAACCCCAUCAAUUCUUUAACAAUAGUUGGGAUCGAACUUAAAAAAAUUAAAUUUAGAUCAAAGUAUAUAUAUUAUAUAUACAACAAUUAUUUAUGAUUGAUUAACUAAUUAGAUGCAUAUUAUUAUUUUUUUUUUUAUUUUUUUUUUAAUAAUUUUUUUUGUAAAAUUAAUAAAUUGACAAAUUUGACCCAAAAAAGAAGGAAAUUUCAGAAAAUGGGUAAUAUAUAUAUAUAUAUAGGUAAUAUAUAUAUAUAUAUAUAUAUAUAUAUAUAUAUAUAUAUAUAUAUAUAUAUAUAUAUAUAUAUAUAUAUGUGGCUUUGAUUACAUGUCUGCAAUUCCUUCCCAACAAAGGUUUCUUUUGUUUUUCCACUUCCCACGCGCAUUUUUCUGUCUUCCUAACUCAGCACCUGUCGUUUUCACUCACUGUGUAUUAAUAAUUAUUUUUCUUUUAUUUUUGUUUUAUUCUUUUAAAAUUAUAUAUGUAAUACAGAUUCGUAAUUUCUAGUUAUAGAAGCAAAUAAAUAUUCAGUGCGAAAGUAAUUUCUGACUCCCCUUAAUUUAUCUCUGGGCUUUUUAUUUAAUUUUCUGGAUUUAUUUGACAUUGCAUUCACUAUUGGAUUAAGUGGGCCUCAUCGUUUGAAAAUCCCAAACUAUUGGAUUUUUAUUUUUAUUUUAUUUUAUUUUAUUAAUGCAAAUUAUACUAUUGGAUAAUACAUUUAUAUAUUCCAAAUUUGUUGAGUCAAACAAUGCUGACAAAUGUGGUAGGUGAACAAAAUUCAUUUAAAAAAAAUCAAGAUAAAUAACAUUCAAUCAAUUAUUUUCAGAAAAUUCAAUGAUUAAUGUGAAGUUGGGUGCAAAGAAGAGGGAACUGGUGGCCCAAAUUAUACCAAUGAUUAAUUCAAUUUUUCGCACUUAAUCAUCACUUAAACCACUUUCUCCAUUUCUUUUUGUUUUAAGUUUUUCCUUAGCCAUUAUCUUUAUUUAUGACACAAUUUAUUUCCACAUUAUAAAUAGUAGUUAAUUAGCUUAUAUUUAGAUGAUAAGCUUAUAAGUUGUUAAAAUCAACUUAUAAGAUGUUUAAGAGCUUAUAAAUUCUUUCAAAGUCUUUGAUAAUUUUUCAAAAAAUCUUUAAAUUCAAACAUUUCUAAGUUUAUCAUAUUCUAAGUUUAUCAUCCAGACACUUCAAACAUUAAUUGUAAAAAUAAGACAUGACAGUUUAUCAGCUCUUAAAAUAAUUGUAAGUGCUAAUUAUCAUAUUUUAAAAAUAUUUUUUGCCAAACAAGCUCUUAUACAUUUGAAAUAAAUGAAAUUUUGUUUAUAUAUGAAUUGCUAUGUUUAUUUUGGAGUCCACAAAUUCUGGAUCAAAUAAUAAUAUUAUCGGGCCAUGAAAUGAAUUGCGGGCCAAUUUGUAAAGCCCAAUUAUUUGCAAUAUUGACAACUCUCAACCCGAUGUGUAAAUGGGCUCAGCCCAAUUUCUAGAGUUCGGCCCAAAAUAAACUAAAAUAAGUCCAGAAAUAAAUAGGGGUUUAUUGCAUUCGUCUCCCUUAUAUCUUCUCUAAUUAUUAAAAAGCCCCAAUGUUAGUUUUAUUGCCAAAAACCUCCUUCUGACUCAAUCUUUUUUAGUGCACUAACCCCUAAAAAUUCACAAUUUAGAACACGUGGGUACAAAAUACAAUAAACUCUAAAACAUGGCCCUACUAUAAAUGAAUUUUGCUAAUUUUAAUAUUAUGAACAUUUUUUUAGUAAUUCGAUAUAGCACAACGAUGAAGAAUAAAAUAAACUGUAAUUACAUUUAUGGAAUUAAAUUAAGGUUUGAAGUUUCCAGAUUCAAAGCAAUACCUAACAGUUGACAAAGGUAAUAUCUGUACUUAAUUGGUGGCCGGUGAUCAUCUUCUAAUUAAAAGUAAGCUGAAAAUGUGGAUUAUUUUGUGAUUACUUUGCCAAAAAUAAUUAUUUGGUUACUUAAGCUACUUGACAGCGCAAGUAAUCUUAUCUUACUGGAUAUUUUAAAUUUUUUCUAUUCACUAAUCAGUGAAAUUAGUUUCAAGUACUUUAAGGUAAAAAGGCACUACAAGAAUUUGUCUCAUCUACUUUUUACUCAUGCAUGCAUGCCCUUUACAGAAAGCUUGACUUUUUCAACUACUACUGCUUUUUUUUUUAGAAGACUUCUGCUUGAUUCCCAAGAUAUGUGUGUGUGUGUGUGUGUGAGAGAGAGAGAGAGAGAGAGAGAGAGAGAGAGAGAGAGAGAGAUUGUUUAUUCUUUAUUCUUAAAGAAUCGGACAAACUGGUGGUGAAGAGGUCAAUGGAAGCUUAUAAGGUGUUAAGAAUAGCUUAUAACAACUUAUAAGUUUUUUCAAAGUGUUUCUAGUAUUUUAAAACAAUCUAUCAGCUGUUCAAAAUAAGCUUCUCAAACGAACCCUUAUUAAGAUUGCUUAAUUUUUCUACAUUAUUUAUCAAGGGAACUCAAUUAAUUCAUUGAUUUUUGUCAAAACUUCGCAGCAAAAACAGCCUAGCCCCAAGAAAAAAUUGAAGGCAUUAUACACUAAAGUCGCAUUUUCAUAAUUAUUUUCAUCUACUAGCCGUAGCGCCUUUUGGACUCGUUCCUACAAUAUAUUAUCUAUGGCGAUUUUUUCACACACACACACACACACACACACACAUAUAUAUAUAUAUAUAUAUAUAUAUAUAUAUAUAUAUAUAUAUAUAUAUAUAUAUAUAUAUAUAUAUAUAUUACUCCAUUGGAUAAACUUCUCAAUUUCUCCUAUCUAGUCUUUAAUUAAUUGUCCUCCAAGUGGGAUUUAUUUUUCUUGACUUCUGCAAAAAAUAUAUAUAUAUAGUCAAGCUUGUUCCCACUGUAUAUAAAACUUAGUUCCUUCACCCAAGUCAUUAAUGGCGGCCAACUUGAGUACUACUAUUUAAUUAUGCAAACACUUAUUGGACCAUUACAAAAAAUUACUAUAAGUUUUCGUUGGCGUGAAGUUGACAACCUUUUCAAUUUUCAAAAAUUGACAAGGUUGUUGUCCAAUCAUAAAUUCAUUUCCAUAUUUAAUUAAUUAAUAUUUUGUCAAUUCUUGCAAGUCACACAAUAAAUAAAUAAAGGUGACAAAGAAAAUAAAAAAAUAAGCUGUAGCACUGAAUAUGGUCGGUCUGGCGAUGAUUUUUUUUUGAAAUUUUAAUUAAACUGAAGGUCGUAAUCAGCUGCAUAAAAAGUUUGCUGUACGUGAAAAUUGUGUUUUUAAAGUAUUUUUUUUCUUUGGUAAGAAAAUCUGCAUUGAUCUUCAGACAAGGACAAUUUAUCAAAUUUGAAUACUUGGCCAUCUCAAUCAUUGAACAAUUGUCGUAUUAAAUAUAUUCAAAAUAUUGUCAGCAAGACUGAGAUCAUUAACGUGGUCGAUCUGACCAAAUUUAAUAUAUUUAACAUUAAAUAUAAUAAAUUUAAAAUUUAAAAAAAUUAAAAAUUAAAAUGAAAAAUUAACUUGAUCUUUGAAUUUUUAUUAGUAAUAGUAUUACGGAUUAAUUGAUGAAAUUAAUUCUGGAUUUCUUGAUUUCAAUUUACAUAAUUAAAAAAAAUAAAAUAAAAGCAGUUAAGACAGAAAGUACUACAACGCAUAUAAAUGAAUAAUAUUUACCAAAAAAAUAACAACAAUUCAAAAAAAUAAAAAAUAAAAUAAAAUAAGGAUCCAUAUUUGUUUUUUCAGUAAUCGAAGAGUAGUUUAUCUUCAGUCUUGAUCUCAUCCACAAAGAAGUUGAGGCUAUUACUGCUGUUAAUAUUGGUAUUAGUGCUGCUAAUCAGCUGCUUAAUCUCCUCAAUACUAUGAUCAACUGGAUUCUGAUCACCAACAAAACACCCAUCACUAAUAUAAUUACUACUACCACUAAUCAUGAAUUUAGUAUCAUCACUAAGUACCCCAUUAUUGCUUAAUAACAAACUCUGCAAAAAUCUAUUGUAAUCAGGCUCCACUAAUCCCUUGCCAUUACGACAACUAAUCUGGUUAUUCGUAAUGCAGCUCCCAUCAGAUGAACUGCAGCUGGGCCCACCACUAAUCUGAUUGUAAUUAAGAUAGUAAUUACCUUGAACAUGGCCCACUAAUCCAUCAGCGUUUGAUGCAAAAACGGCGUCGUUUUUAUUGUAAAAUGGUAAUUGGGUGCAAUUAAUUGAUGGAUAAGAAGAUCCGAUCAUAAACGAGGAGGAAUUGAUUGACGGCUGUGAUGAAAAGUUGGUAAUGAUUUGAUGAUUAUGAUGCUUCUUUUGAUGAUGAUGAUAAUUAUUGGGAGGUGGUGGUGCCACGCUGGCAAUGAGUUUCUUCUUCAGCUUUGUGUUCCAGUAGUUUUUAAUAUCGUUGUCUGUUCUUCCUGGUAAUUGACCUGCUAUGAUUGACCAUCUGCACUUGUUUGUAUGUGUAAUGAAUGUGUGUCAUGUGAUACUUAAUCAAUUAAUCUAACUGUAAUUAAUUAAUUAAUGAAUUAAUUAAAUUAAAUUAAAUUAAAUUACCUGCUUCCAAUUGUAGCAAAGAGUGUGCAAAUGAUUGUAUCUUCAUCUUCUGAAAAUUCGCCAUGCUUUAUAUUUGGUCUGAGAUAAUUCAGCCAUCUCAGCCUGCAACUCUUUCCACAUCUUUUCAGCCCUAUAUAUAUUUAGGUGAAAUUAAUUAAUUUUAUUUUGGAAGAAUUAAUUAAUGAUGAAAUUAAAUAAAUAAAAUAAAAUAAAAUAACAUACCAAUUUUGUGAGGGAGAGCAAUCCAAUUACCACCAGUGCCAUUUUUCUCUAUGUAGUUCUUGAGAGUUGCAUCUUCUUCAGGUGACCAUGGCCCUUUCUUCACCUUUGACUUGUCACAGCAUGGUGCUCUUCCCAUUUUCUCUCUCUCUCUCUCUCUCUCUCUCUCCUUCCUCUUUCUCUCUCUACACUUUCUCUCUCUUCUGUGAGAUUUUCAAAAGUCUUGUUGAUGUUUGUUUUGAGGACAAUGCUACAACAUGUGUGUAUGUAUGUGUAUAUAUAUGUAAAAUAAUAAUUAGUGUCAGAGGUGCACAAGUCAAAGAUGGAUACAAAUUAAUAAAUAUUCCAAUUAUUUGCAUGCAAUUAUAAUCAGUUGUUUAAUUUAAUUUAAUUAAUUAAUUAUCCGCAGUCAGUGAUUAUUAGCUGAGGCAGCUUUCGAAUAUUUAAUUAAUCAAUCCCAUCACCCAAAUUAAUUAGCUUCAUCCAAUUUGGCUGUUUCCUCCCAAGAAUCCAAAACACUUGUCUAUAAAUAAAAAUACACACAUGCACCUCACUAUUCAGAUUUAAACAAUAGUUGUUCGUUAUUGGUAAUAAUUAGUACUAAUUAAUUUCCGUUAAAGAUUGAUUUAUCUGUAGGUGGCCAACAAUCUAACCAAUUAAUUAUUUAUGACAGGAUAUAUGAUAUAUUAUCAAGAACUGAGAAACAACAUAAUCCAAAGGUAGUUGAAAGUUCUGUAACAACUAAAAGGCAGAGCUGUUACAAAUGAUUAAUUACAAGUAUCCUUUUGUCAAUAUUAAUUAAUUAAUUAUUCCUCCGAGCAAUUAGCUUAAUUAAUUAAAUUAAUUAUGAAUAAUAUCGCUCCAUCUAAGAAGUAAGAACACAUGCAUCUUUUCAUUAACAAAUUGGUUUACUGAUUAUCCACUUCUCGCCUUUUCACCUAAUCUUCACUGUAAAUAUGUUAAUAAAAUGGUUUACUUUUUUUAAUGAAAAAAUUAAAUCUUUAAAUAGUAUAUAUACAUUGAAAAUAUUAAUUUGUUGUAAGAAAAAUUAACCAGAGAAGCAGUGAAUAACAUCCAAUUAACAAAUUAAAACUCCCAUAAAAUAAUACUAAAAUCGAGGCAGUAAAUACAUCUUAUCAUACUUCAGAUCUCAAUCAUACGUCAGCAAAGAGAGAGAGAUAAACAUGCUUUGACUUGGCCAAUUAAUUAAAGUCUGACAGAUUUUCAAUCUACGACUAUUAUAUUUUGUUUUAAUUUAAAUAAAAUACAUAUACAUAAGUAGCAAAAAUAUAUUGAACACGAGGAACAACCCGAAUCUGUGUGUUUCAAUUAUAUUCAGCAGUGUACCACGACGACUCUGUCUCUGUACUUUCAAAGUAGACAAAAUCACUGCUGAUGCAUGCAGAUCAUUUUUUUGCCUCAACACCCUCUACACACUUUCUGCAUGCAUAUUUUAUAUUUUAUAAUAUAUAUAUAUAAUAUAAUAUAUAUUGUUUGGCUCGUUGGGCCCUACUGGAUUAUUAAUAAUCGGCCCAUUUAACCAUCUCCAUAUGAAACGGCCCAAUAACAUUAAUCCAUAAUAACAAGUUGAACUGGGUUACCCUUUUCGGGCCCAAACUAUUUGGGCUUUAAGGUAAUUAAUUGAAUAUACAAUACCCAUUCAGAUGGACUAUGGUUCUUAUGAUCAAGUGGGUUGAUAUUAAUUUGAAAUAUAUCAAUCUCUCGUGAUAGGCCCUGGCCCAUUCAAAUGAAAGACUCAUAUUGUAUGGCCCGGCCCAUUUAAUUUGUCAUCAUUCUGCAUAUAGUGAGCCCGAAAAUUAUAUUUCACCACUUCCACAACAACAGUCAUUUUUUAAGACUAUUUUAAUUUUAUAUUAUAUUGUUUAUAUUUUCUACUCAUUAACCCUCUCUUAUAAAUCAUUAACUGAUAAAUAUUAUUUUGGUUAUUUUUAUAUGAUUUAACUAAAGCCAGGCCAAAUAUCUUACUACUUGUGCAAAUAUAAAAAAAAAAACAAUUAUUUAAAAGUGAUAAUCACGUAUUCACGUGUUUUAUAUUCCAACUUUCGGGGUCAAAUUACAAGGGAUCAUUAAUUUACAUUAUCAAUCUUAAACAAGUGGAGAAAAUGAUGUUUUCAAACUAGGAAGUAGGGGAAACAUGUACUAAUGCAAUGAAGUAUAAUGACAUCUACCAACCAAUUUUGCACAUAAUAUAUUAAGAAAAUAAUAUAAUAAUAAAAAUAAUUAUGACGCACAAUUAGAAUUCUCAACUCUGAACAAGUACCGAUUUUGCGACUACUUACAUUAUCUAUGUUAUACAUUCAAUGAAAUUUCCACGAGAGAAAAAUGUAGCAAUGACCCAAAUCGGUUGAAUUGAGAAUUUUAUUUACGUUGACCGCGUUCCAAAAGAGAGAUACGGAAGAAGACUUUCACCAAAUCACGUACAACUCGCGAUGCACGCGGUACAAGCCAUCGGCAUCCAAAUUUCCCUACGGCCGCAGAGGAGUAAAAAACCAAUAAUCCCGCACCGUCGACCGUCACCGUCAACUGCCAGCUGGCGCCAUCACGUAGCGUUCACAUCUAAAUUGGGAUCCACCGAACGGAGUUAAUAACGUGGGGCCCGCGUAGGGUUUGUUUUCAAUUCCACUGAAAACUAGAGCUAGAGAGAGAGUGGUGGUGAUUGGUAGAGAGAGAGAGAGAGAGAGAGAGCGAGUCAUCCGGAUCCGCUAGUAUAAAUACUCACAGCCUCCGCUCCAGAAAUUCAUUCUGCAUCUGCGCCUUCCAUUUUCUUCCUCCUUUUAUUGCAUUCCCGAGAUCUCUCUUUCCACCAAAAGGUGAGCGCGUUUAACUCAGUUACGUUUGUCAUUUUUUAGAUCUGUUAAUUGCCGCGUUAAUUCGUUCUUAGAUCUCUAUGGCAUUUGUUUCUUCUUUGUUUGCUGUAUUAAUCAUCGUUCCUUUUUGUGCAUUUUUUGUAUUAAAUUUGUUGUUUCGAAUUCAGUAUUGCUGGAUUUGGUGAGUUGUUGAACUCGGACCCGGUAUUUGUAGAAUUGAGUUAACAAAACGUGGUUAUAGAAUGCUGCAACCAAAUUGAACGGUGGUUCUCAGUUGCGGAUGUGUGGAUCUUCGUUCUCUUGCUCAUUGAGAUUCAGAUCUUGUGUAGCAUUUUGUGCCAUGAAUGAAUGUUUUGAUUUUCCAUUAAGGAUCUGUGUUUUCUCGAAGAUGUUUGUCGUGCUAGUUUGAUAUUUAGCAUUAUAGAUCUGUAUUAAUUAUGUCUUCCUUUAGAUGUUACUGCUGUUUCUUGUUGAUAAUUAAUGUUCUACAGAAUCAUUAGAGCGAUGUUUUUCCUGUCGGUAUGUAUCGUUUUUUUCAGAUUGUUUAUCUGUAAUCACUCUUGUUCUAUAAACAGAAGACAUUGAAAAAAUUGGAUUGCUGAAUAACUUGUUUCCCAGCAUGGUAUUAAACUAAUAAUCUGUUGUUGUCUGCUAAUAUUCGACAUUUAUGGCUCCCAUGCAUCUGACCGAUUCAACUAUAUGAAGUCGCUAUCCUUUUUCAGUAAUUCAAUAAAUAAUUAAAACUAAUAUAACAUUUUAAUUGUGUUUCAGAUACAUUAUGGAUACCUUCCUAUUCACCUCAGAAUCUGUCAACGAAGGUCACCCCGACAAGCUCUGCGACCAAGUCUCCGACGCCAUUCUCGAUGCUUGCCUCGAACAGGACCCAGAGAGCAAAGUAGCAUGUGAAACAUGCACAAAGACGAACAUGGUCAUGGUCUUCGGUGAAAUCACAACCAAGGCCAUAGUCAACUACGAGAAGAUCGUACGCGACACAUGCAGAGGAAUUGGCUUCAUCUCUGCAGAUGUCGGCCUUGAUGCUGACAACUGCAAAGUCCUGGUCAACAUCGAGCAACAGAGCCCCGACAUUGCACAGGGAGUCCACGGUCAUCUCACCAAGAAACCCGAAGAUAUCGGAGCUGGUGACCAAGGCCAUAUGUUCGGCUACGCCACCGAUGAAACACCAGAGCUGAUGCCGCUCACUCAUGUGCUUGCCACCAAGCUUGGUGCCAAGCUGACCGAAGUGAGGAAGAACAACACCUGCCCUUGGCUGAGACCAGACGGAAAAACACAAGUCACUGUCGAGUACAAGAAUGACAAUGGUGCAAUGGUCCCGAUUAGGGUUCACACUGUCUUGAUCUCUACCCAGCAUGACGAAACUGUGACAAACGAGAAGAUCGCCAUCGACUUGAAAGAGCAUGUCAUCAAGCCUAUAAUCCCUGCUCAGUACCUUGAUGACAAAACUAUCUUCCACCUGAACCCAUCUGGCAGAUUUGUGAUUGGUGGCCCACACGGAGAUGCUGGUCUGACGGGUAGGAAGAUCAUUAUCGACACCUAUGGUGGCUGGGGUGCUCAUGGUGGUGGUGCUUUCUCGGGCAAAGAUCCGACCAAGGUUGACAGGAGUGGUGCGUACGUUGUUAGGCAGGCGGCAAAGAGUGUGGUGGCUGCCGGACUUGCACGUAGGUGCAUUGUGCAGGUUUCGUAUGCUAUUGGUGUCGCAGAGCCACUUUCUGUUUUUGUUGAUACUUACAAGACGGGUACAAUUCCCGACAAGGAUAUUCUUGCUCUUAUCAAGGAGAGCUUUGACUUUAGGCCAGGAAUGAUUGCCAUUAACCUUGACUUGAAGAGAGGUGGUAAGUUGAGGUACCAGAAGACUGCUGCUUACGGUCACUUUGGCCGUGAAGACCCGGAUUUCACCUGGGAGACUGUUAAGGUUCUCAAGCCUAAAGCUUGAGUUUGUCGUCAUACACUGUGAUUCUUACCAGGACUUCCAUCAUAGCGCCGGAUUGCUGCUGUUUUGUUUCUGUUGCUAUUGAGGAAUAUAGAGGGAGAGCCUGGAGUAUUUGUUUAAUAUUUCUCUUUAUCUUUUUGUUUUUCGUUUCCUUAUGUUUUUGUGUUAGUAAAGUUGUAUUCAAGUUCAGUACGAUUGUCGUCUGGGGGGUCGCUUUCGAUUACUCCUAAGUUAGUUUGAUGAUUUCUGAAAUUUAAGAAACCAUUUCCACUCGAUGUUGAUUUAUUAUGAUCACAAGUUUUGAGAUUUUAUUUACGUUGCUUUUCUAGUCUAUGCUCGAGUUAUUUAUAUGUGUUUUGCGGUACGUAUUUUGCUUUAUGAUCAACAGCUUACAUUAUUAGCAUGAAAUUUGAGAACAGAGAGACUGAAUCCACCUGAGAAUUCAGAUAUGCACUCACAAUUGACAUAAAUUUGAAAUAAAUUGUCACCAAGGUAAGCUCUAGAAAAUUGAAGUGUACGUAAAUGAUUCGACUUUCAAGAGUGAAGCCAGAGGCGGUCGUGCAGACGGUCUUCUCCGGCACCAAACAUCUCGUCAACCCUUUCACCAUCUCUGUAGAAGUGAAAAGUGGGCGUAUAUCGAAUGUGUUGAGUCGUUUCCGGACAUUCAUCAAUAUCAGCAUACACAAAAGAAAGCUUCGGAAACUUGCUGCUUAAUCGACUGAAAGAGGGAAGAAUCUGACUGCACACACGACACCUAAUAACCAUAAUUAAACAAAUCAAAUCUCAGAUUAUCAUACAUGAAAUAAUGAAUGAUUAUAUACCAAUAUAAUGAAAUCGUUUGAUUUUUUGUGAUAAUUUUUUCUCUUGAGCAUUUCAUCGAACACCUUGCUUACAUUAUUGACAAAUACAGAGGAUUUUAUUUUAAAACUAAAUAGAUGAAGAAACGGAAUUGAAUACAUACCAAGAUGCACCGUAGUUGAUAACUGUCUGCAAAAUAGCCCAGAGCAGAAAUCAAUUCGACAUAAACACAAUCUCAAUGCAAUAAAGAGUGGGAAAAAAAAAAAAGUGAAGGGGAAUUUGGCUUACAGGAUUUUUGGAAGUUCUGAUUUGGUGAAAAAUUUCCUUGAGAUUGUCAUCACCGGCGGCAGUGAUGACGUCAGCUUUAGAAGUUUUGAGAGAGAGUGGAGCUGUGUUGUAGCUGCUCUCUUCUGUGACUUUCUCAGCUCCGUCGGCCAUUUCCGUCUUUGCCCUCCUCUCUUUUUUCUCCAAUAUUUUAGGUUUAAAAAAAAUGAAGAAAUAAAACGUCAAAAUAAUGAAAUAUCCAAUAUUGUACUUUGUUCAAAGUGCUGAUUUUUUCACAAAAUUAACCCACAAUCAUUACUUCCAAAUCCGCCUAAGUCGAGCUUGUCCUAUGUGGUUAACCUAAUGUAGUUUACGUCUCUCGUAUAAUUUGCAAUCUAUUAUACGAGAGUGUAAGUUAGUCCAGUGUACAUAUACGGUUGGUUGUGAAUUCAUUCGUUACCAGAAAAAAAAAUAAAAAAAAAUAACCCACUGCAGCAGUGAUCGAUUUAAAUUGAAAUUGAAAAUAAAUGAUUUAUUUAUAAGCUAAAAAUGCUUCAUUUGAAUUGAAAAAUACAAAUGGACAAUGUUGAGUUCGAAUCUCUCUCAUAGAACAACCUUUAAUAAAAUUAUACAAAAUAAAAAUAAAGUCAAAAGGUUGAGUUUACAUAAGAACCCACUACAAUGUCUAUAAGAAGAAAAACAGAAUAUCGAGCGCAGAUAAAGAGUUCCGAUACAAUAUAUUUGGUUGAUAUCAUCAACUUUUUCGUUACGUCAACGAAUGGAAGGGGUUAAAUGUUGGACGGAACCAAAUAUGAGGGUUUUGUUUGUAAUUUCCCAUAUCCAAUAAAAUGGAUUUAGGCCAAACCACAAGGGAGCCUAGUGCAAUUUACCCAAACAUUUAGUGGUCAUUCAGUUUCAGACAAUGCCUCUGGAUGAAACUUCUUGCAUAGUGCUUCUGCAGCAGCUCCUAUUCUUGCUUUGUCCUGUAAACAACAAAUUCUGCAAAGUCAACCACACUUCUCUUCCCCCCAAAAAAAAAAGAAAGAAACGAAUUUCUAAAAAAACGAACAUCCUUAUUUCUUACAUUUCCCUCGAAGGUAAUGAUAAUCGAACCUCCUCUUGAUUUGCGAUAAGUCCCUUCACAUACCAAGGAAAUGGGGAAGAAAUAAACUAUUAACAUGGGCUAGAGGAGAGGAUGUAGUCAUUCAUAUACACACAAAAAGUCAAUUUAUGGUCAAUAAAAAUCUUACCAAUGUAGAGAUCGGGAAAUUGUCGACAAAUUUCUGAAAGAGGUUGAGCAAUUUCCACCUGCAAGUAAUCAAUAACAGAUGGUUUUCGAAAGUCGAAAAGAUAAAUAAAACAGAUACGGAUAAUAGAUUCAGGGACUUACAUCGGGAAGAGUUGUUGCCAGUUUCUUCGAGAUUAAUGGUUCAGUUGUCAAUAAAACCCCAUUUGAUCUCAUCAAGUCAAUAAAGCAAUCCCACUCAUUUUCCAGCUCAGCAACACUAGCUGCCGUAAGAAUUAUCACAUUUUUGCACUUGAUCUACGACACACAGUUGAGUAUUAAAUAUUAAGAUUCCAGUGAUUUUCGAAUGAUUUUUUUUUAUUAUUAUUAUUAUAAUUAUCGUCAACAGUGAUGUAACUUACGAGAGGCACACUCAGUUUCUCAUGGUGCACCAACUCCGUAAUGCCUUCAGGCAACUGAGCCAUCUGGAAGGGGAAAAUAGAUUAUAUAAAUAAAAUAACUGGUAAAAAAGAGAUAUAUAUCUCAUCAUAACAUGUAUUAUAUUUAACAAUUUUAAAUGAGUCGAUUUCCUAUAAAUUUAUCAAGAAGCAUCUUUUUUACAAUGAAAAUAUGGCAUGUCAUUACCUCAUUCCUAUCUCCGGUGCACCUUUCGCCUAUGAGGUGCCUCAAAUAUUCUUCAAAUUCUUCAUCCGGGGCCUUCAAGAAAAUAAAUUGUACUAAAAUAAAUUAAAUGCAAUAACAAUGAAACGAAAAGCUAGGUGAAAGAAUUUACAAGAGCAGAAAAAGGGACGACGAAACUGCAUCCUAGUCUAGCAAGAAUAUUAGAUCAGUAAGUUAAUUAGAUUCCCUGAAAAUUAUAGAAUCAAAUAGUAUUGUUCCUGAAGUAGUCGACCUAAUAAUUCACACGUAAAAGUUAAAACUGACAGAAGUUAAUGGUGAUAGGCAAGAAGUACCAUUCGGACACCAAAUGCUUUAGAAACACCAGCUACAGUUACGUCUGAAGGCAAUGGACCAACCCCUCCAUAUAUGAAAACCUGCAGUUAAGUUACAAUUUACAAUGUUUAACUAAAACUUGAAGAUAUCACACACACACACACACACACACACACACACACACACUCUCUCUCUCUCUCUCUAGAUAUUUUACCAUAUCAUUAGUAGACUUUCUUCGCUCAACUUCAUCUGCAAUAGAAUCAAUCUGGAAAGAUGACAUUAACGAAGUUAUAUGUACAACCAUACAGUCAACAAAAUUUUUGAAAAUUAAUCUACGUGCACAUCAAAAUUAAGGUAAGAAAAAAAAAAUCACAAAAACUUACAUCAUUUCUAGCAACAGCAAUAUGUGAAACGGACCAGCUUAUCGAAUGGAGUUUUCUGCAUAAUACGAAUCCUAUCUGAUCCUCAAUAGUGCCAGACCUGAGCUAUGGUACCAACAGAAAAUUCUCAAUUAGAAAAUGACUCAAAUGCAAAUACGGAUGCAAUCAUUGUUAACAUACUUUUUAUUAUUACUAUUAAACAAAAAAAAAAUCAGUAACAAAAAACUUACAGAAUUUCAUCUCCCACAGCAAUAACCGAGGCUGUAAACAUACUUUUCGAAUGUGAAUAAUCGUGAUUCAAACCAUUGCUAACAGCAGAUAAUGGCUGAGAAGUUAACUUCUUAACUCUCCCUGCUCUUUCAAGUCUUCCAUCUGAAAGCAUAUAUGCAGGUUUGUAUUUUUCUUCGCUAUCGCACAACAGUGCAUUGGGAACUGUGUCGUGAAUGCUACCAAUUGAAGUGUAACUGCAGAAAACUCGAUAGGAUUACACCACUAAAAUAAUAUCAAUACCAAACAACAACAACAAAAAAAAUCUAUUUGAGAUAAACCUUACCCAAAACAUUAAGGAAAUAUAUAGAAGAAAACUCAAAAUAUUCUAUCUUAAAUAAAUCUACAAGAAUUUACCCUUGAUCGUAAAGACUGCAGUACUGAACCUUGCAAGUUAGGAGAAAGGCCCAAAUAUCUCUGCCAUGUAAACAGUGAAACGUAAGACAAUUUGCAUUCGUGCAAAAAUACAAAAACGAUUCUUUGAAAAUGCCAAAAAAUACAAAAAAGUAACCAACACGUAUAUUUCUCUUCUCAUUCAAGAUUGGAUACCAGAAAAAGGUAGGGCGUAAAUAAUUUAGGACAAAAGGGUGACUUGUGAUGUUAGAGAUUGACCUGUAUGACCAAUCCAAAAUGGGAUUCACUCUCAUGAAAGGCGGCCACCCGGGCGAGCUAGGUGAGAACUGCUCUUGCCCUACCUAAAAGAAUAUUACCAAUUUUCUCUUAAUCUCAUUCUUAAAUUAUGUAUAUAAUUGCAUUAAAACAUAAUGAGUAAUAAAUUGCAUACAUACAGCAGUAGGAUCUCCAAUUCGGACACCAAGAAAAAUAGCUCUAAUAGGAUUAGCUUUUAAAAGAGUUUCCAAGCCAGACUUGAAAUCUAAGCGACUGAUGUCCAUCCACAAUUUGUAACUGCCAUAUUGGAAUUAAUAUAUCAAUAUAAUUCUCAUGCAUAAAAAAAAGAGAUGUGGGGGGGGGGGGGGGGGGGGGGGGGAGGGUAGGAAAAAAAUCACAUACAUAGAAGCUGUUUCGUAAGUGAAUGAGUUGAUUUCAUGGAAAGUCGAUUUGGUCUCAAAAUAAAUUGUCCGUAUCGGAAAUGUUAAUUCAGCAUCUUCAGUGGACAGAUUCUUUCCAGACUUGUGCAAAUGAUAGCCUGCCCUAAGAAGGUGCAAUAAAACCUACAAUAUAGAAUUGUAUGUCGUUAUAUUUGUUUCUUAAAUUAAUAAUGAAGAUUUCGUGAAAAUGACAUGGGAGAAAAGGGUGCGUCUGCGUAAAACAACUUACAGUUGAAUCUUUUCCACCAUUAAAGCUGAAAGCGACCUCUUCAACACUGUCAACAAAAUCAUCAAGUAUUUAAUCUAGUUUUCACCAUUGCAGUUAAACGACAAACUAUCGGGGAAAUUAAAUAUGCAGGUGCCACUUGGCAUCACAGAUGAACAGCUCAUAACGAACCGAGUAAUUAUUGAAUGUCUUUUAUUUCCUAAAGUGCAAGUCAAAGAUACUACUCACUCCACUCGUCAAGUUUCGAAAUGCUUAUAUUUCCAAACUCUAUCAAAAAAAAAAUCAUCUUCAUAAAUGCUUGAAGACAUCCCAUCUUAUCCAAUAACGACCUUUUCUUGUCAACAAUUUACUAAGAUAAAUCGUCAUCUAAAAACAAUUGCUUCUUUAACAUUAUAAAAUUAGGAAAUGUGAUGGAAAAAACCAAACUGCAACCGACGUAUUUAUAUAAUCUCACUGAUUCUCAGAACCCAAAUCAACGGCACACGAACAAUCCUAUGACCACUACCGUAACAACUAAUAAUGGCUAAACCCUAAGUGCUUCUAAAACAAAGCUAUACAACAAAAUUUCAACGAUGAGGAUAUAAGAGUAAGCGAGGCGUACGAGUAAAGAGCUAGAGCCCUUUGGAUGACGUAGAUGGCAUUGUUGUACUUUGUCUUCAACCUUAUAUCAUCACAUUCUCUUAUCGCUUUAUCGAUCUCCAUUUUUUUGGCUUAUAUCAAUAUCAAUCUUCCUGAAUGUGAAUCAAAACAAUAACAAGAAUAACAACGAUCAAUCACCAGAUAUUUAAACUCGAAAAGCUGGCCAAAGCGUGUCAUAACAGAAGUCUGAAAUUUUCAAUUAAAGGAGUAUUCAUUCAAAUUCAAGCAAAUCAAAAUUACCAGACCAAACAUAAGAUAGAUGCGAAUUCCUGCGAUUACUUGCAAAAUCACAUUUCCAACAACAAAAAUUCACUUGCCUUUAAUGUAGAAAAAAAAAAUUAACAAAAAACGCACAGACAACGAACUCAACAAUUACCAUGUGCAAUUAAUUAACAAAAAAAAAAAAAAAAGUCACCAUUGAUGGGUUUAAUACUUUAAUUUAACAAUGGAAUUUCCACCUUGUGCUGAAACGAGAAUUAAAUGAAGAACACGGGUAACGAUAAACGAGAGAAGAUUCAACUUCUGAUACGAAAGAGGAAAUUUGGUUCUGAUGUGAUUCAGGGAUGGAAUAUUACCUCGUCUGAAGACUCUUCUGAGAAGUAAGAAAGUUUACAGAUGUAUAUAAAGAAAAACCCCUUUUUCAAUGUAGACUGCUUUUUUAUGAAUUUCUCUUUCCUUGGAAAAUAUUUGGGUGCUCGAAUAAAUUAAUAUUUAUGAAGGAAUUCUUUUUAAUUUUUAAUGUUUAAAUAAAUCAAAUUUAGAGAAUCGAAAAUAUUAAAAAUAAAUUUAGUGUUAUUAAAUUAGUUAUUUCAAUUUCAAGUUUUUAUUUGGAAGCAUCCAAACAUGGCAUAAGAAAAUAAUAAUACAUAAACAAGCGAAGAUGUUAUUAGUUCAUGAUUUUGUUUGGAAGUAAUUCUUAGGUUUUUAUUAUUAUCUUACAUUUCGAGAGAAAAAAAAUGUAAUUAUUUACGUUUCGAAUUGCUUUUUACCUCUUGAAUUAUUACAAAUAAGUAAAUUAUGGCGUUUAAGAUAUAUUAAACGAGUCUUACAAGAAAUGAUCUAACGGUUAUAGCAAGUUAGUAUCAAUUAACAUAAAUUUGAAUUUCUUUGUCAACGGUCGCUAGAUCGAGCUUGUUAUAAACAAUGAUCAACCUAGUAUUAUUAUGAUCAACCUAGUAUUGUUGACGUAUGAAUAUACAAUUUUCAAUAUACCAAUUUAAAGUAAGUCUGAAGGAAAAAGGAGUAGUUUAUUGACUUCUCCCACAGGAAAAGCCAAACAAGAAAAUUCUUGGGAGAAACAAGAGAACAAAUUAAAGUAGCUCACCACAUUAUGGUGAGUUGACCUUUGACCUAUAUGACAAAGUCAACAAUUAAAAUCUUAGGACUUGGAAAACUUAAUGCAACACCACUCUGAAAUUAGCCUCAGAAUGAUAACAAAGUUCAUACAUAUACAAUUUUGAGAUGAGAUUUUUAAGAUAUGAUUAGCGAAUCGACACUGGCUUCGAUACUGUAAUAAUACACGUAAAAAAAAUUACAAACACAACACAAAAAUUACAAUCCCCGUUUUGCAUCGCAGCUCGACAUCAGGGUUUGUUGUCUAGUCUUUACAAAAUUUCUUCCCACACUUCAGCCAAAAACUCAACCAUCAUCUGUGUGUAUGGAGAAAAAAGUUUCGAUGAUGCAAUUUAGGAAGUAAAUAUCGGGGAAAUUUAUUCACAGAAACUUACAGCUAAAGGAACCGGUUCUUCAAAAGGCUCUUUCGAUGAAAGUAAAUCCUUGCAAGAGGUACUAUAUCUGCAAGAAAAUAAUUAUAAAUACGAGAUCUCCCAAAUAUGUAUUAACAGAAAACGUGUUGAGUAAUUUGAAAUUGAUACGAGGAAGAAAAGGAAAUGCCUCGUAAUUGGCUCGGUGGGCUUUCUUUGAGAUGCAACAGAUCGAUUGCCUCUCCAAGCUCUUCUCAUUUCAUGCCAGGCUACUGCUGCUGCAAAUUUGGCCAACAAAUAACUAUUUAAAAAAUUUAAGACAGAAUGCUAAAAAUAGAAAGAAAAAAAAAAAAGUAACCACCGACUUUAAGGUAUAAAGAAUGAACCCAUUGUUUAGUAUUGAAAUUUCCCACUAUUUUUGUCCAAUCAAGUACAGCACAAACAAUAAAACACACCCUAAUAAGUGAUUAACAUAGAAAAGGCAAAAUACGAAGUUAUUGUGAUAGUCGGCUAAACGUAUAUAUACAGAUAUCGCACCAUCUUGACAAACAUGAAGUUUUUAGAGAAAAAAAGGUUGCAAAGGAACCAACCAUAGUUGACGAAAAGAGUAUUGUAAUCAUCUUGAAGAGAAGGCAUCUUUUCUAAUGAGUCGUAACUGAUUCCAUCAACAUCCAUCCCCCUUGCACUGGCUUUCAAGACUGUACUGAACAGUCACCGAUUAAAACUGAAAACAGGAUCCACAACUAAGACGAUAUUCAAGCGUAUUUACUAUCACAAGAAACAAGUAAAAUCAUAAACAUUAAAGAGCAACAUGAGAGACUAAAAAUAUGUUUGCAUUAUUAAAAUAAACGAUACAACUAGUUUGCAUUAAAAAUGUGUCGAGCUUUUGCUGACCAUAAAGAACGAUUAGAAGCAUGUUAACCAACAACAAUGUUGAAUUGUUGAUAAGUAAUUCAAGAGACGAACAUAGUUAUCCAAAAUAUGCAGGAAUGUGCGAACGCGAAAAUGUUAACCAAAAAUUAUAGCAUUCCGAGCCUUGAUUGAUUGUUUUACCCAUAUUACUUGUUCCUAGUAUAUUACACGAGAUAAUGUUCGUAGUCGAAAUUUAUUAAUGGACUGUGCUUUAUCGGAAUCCCUCAUAAACAAUAGCAGUGAGUUUCUACAACAAAAAGACCACCAGUAUAGCUUCUGCAAUCAAUUAACCCAAAUCCCCAAAUUAAUCAUAAAUCAUGAAAAUAAUAACAAUGUCAACUAACGAAAUUCAGAAGUUAGAUUUCAUUCCAGUUCAUCACCAUUGAAGCCUACCAGCUCCAAAUAUAACUAGACUGUACUAUUGGGACUAGAAUUGGCAAAUUAAUCCAGAAUAACAUUAUUAAAAAAAAAAAAAAUUAAGUUCAAUUACAGAAGAAAAUAAGUUUGGUCGAUAGUAUCAGCUACAGUUUGAACAUGGAACCGUACGAACCUUGCAUUCGACUAUCAAUGGCGAUUCUGGAAAUUCGGAAAGUAGAGUUGGAUGUGGGUUAAUUUUAGGCUGAUAUGUUUGCCAGUGGCGGAGCAAAUAAUUUGGGGGAGAAUUUUUGAGUAAUUGGGGGAGAAUUUAUUCGUGAGUAUAAACACUAUUUAUUUUCAUAAAAUAUUUGUAAUUGUGAAUAUAUAAUGAGCCUAAAGCUAAAAAAAUUGAGCCCGUAUUUGUGUAACCCCUAUUUCAAAUAUGGGCCCAAUUUAGGAAGUUUAAUUUGUUUGUGGCCUUCGGGCCUCAAUUAAACUAAUCCCUAAUCAUCAUUAGAAACUGAAUUAAUUAUUAAUCACUUUAAAUAUUCCCCCUAUAUUUUAGAGAUUUAGCUUUAAUUAACUAUAAAAUAUGUUAUAAAUAUUUAAUUUCUACAAGUAAUCGCAAUUCCGACCUUAGCUCAGUUGGUAGAGCGGAGGACUGUAGUGGGUGCUGCCCGAUUGUUAUCCUUAGGUCGCUGGUUCGAAUCCGGCAGGUCGGAAUCUUUUCUUUUAAUUUAUUUUUUGCAUAUAAGUAGUUUUUAUUUACUUUAAAAUUCAUAAAUUGCCCCAAUUAUUUUUUUACAUGUCGGCCCAAAACCAAAAAAUGGUCUAUCAUUAAUUUAAUAAUUUAUGGAGUAAUUUAUACAGGGUCAAAUAUUAAUUAAACAUUAACACGUCUCAUAAUAAAAUAAAAAAUAAAGGAGAGUAUUAACAAGGCCCAAUUCUCAUCCAAGUUCAUUCUCGGGCUAUCUUCAAUUAAUCCAAAGUCAAGCAUUGACCAACAAUUAAAUAAAGCCCAAUUUCUCAGCCUAAUCUAUUUCUAUUAUUUAUACAUGAAAACGAGAGUAAAGUGAAAUUGACAAAAUCCGGAGCAAUCCAGCAAAGGAGAUACAGAGAUGGCUGGUCGGAGCAUCACAUACAUCACCGGCUCUCAGCUUCUCUCUCUCAAAUCCCGCCCUAAUAUUGCCAUCGUCGACGUCAGGUGUAUUAAUCACGCUUUCUUCUUCGUUUAACAUUUGACGAGAGGUUUUAUUAUUUUAUACUGUAAAAUAUUUGACGAGAAUUUGACGUUUUUUUGUUUUUGUUUGGGUAGGGAUGAUGAACGGAGCUCCGAUGGACACAUAGCCGGAUCUCUCCACGUUUCUAGCGAUAAUUUCGUUGACAAAUUGCCCAGCCUGGUUGAAGCUACCAAAGGCAAGGAUACUCUCGUUUUCCACUGCGCUCUCAGCCAGGUUUUUUUUUUUUUUUUUUUUUUUUUUUCUUUUUCCUUCUCCUUUUUACCAUUAUUAUUACUAAAAUAAUACUUGUACUCAUUUAUUCAAACUCGCAGCUUGUAAUUUAUAAUUGUUGAUUUGAGUUUUUACUUGAUUAUUUUGGUGUCUCAGCAAUUAUUUCCCCCUUUUAAAUUUGUCACAGUUGUAGGCCUGUAAUUGUGGUCAAAAUUGAAUAGGAUCUGUUGUUCUAAGUUAGGUUAAAUCAUAUGUCUAGCUGCUGGAAGAACUGGAAAUUGCCGCCCCACACAGUCAUUCUCAGUUGCCUAUUUUAGGUUAUAGAACUUGAAAUUUUGUUUGGGAUCUAAUUUUCCUUAAUAAUCUCAGACUUUUUAGUAAGAAGCAAUCCAUUUCCAAGACAGAUGUUCGUCUCUUAUCUAGUCGUGUGUGUUGUUUCCGUAGACCAUAAUUGAAUUAACAUAUCCUUAUGUUGCUUAUCCAACAUUCUAGAAUUUUUUUUUCACCUCUUAGCAACUUUGAAUCCGUAUAUUAUCUCUUUGUAAAACCAAUUAAUUUUAUCGUUAUCUAAAUACGAUGAUGCGUAUAUAUUGAGUAUUCAUUAUCAUUCCUCAGCCCACAAGCUUUAUUGCUCUUCUCGGUACAUUAAUAAGCUAGAUCGUAGGUUGGAAUUUCGUCAAAGAAGGUGAGUCAACCGAGCGAAACUAAAGUAUUAUCUUACUUGGUUGGAUCAUUCAAUGACCCAAACAAAUUACGCUUACUAAUAUUUGACGAAGCUGAAUCAUGAAAGAAUUGCUCAUUAAUCAUUUUUUUCUGGUUGCAUGCCAUUUAGUCUAGGUUAUUUUUCUCUCAAUAAGUGUAGUUGCCACGAAUUACGACAUUGUUAUUGUUUAUUUUAGAACUGGGAACGAAAUGCAUGCAAAUUGUAAUGGAAUGUUAGAAUUAGGUUUGGAAGAGGUUACAUGAACUGAUCAUACUACUUAUUACAAGCACCAAAACAUGACAUUCGACUAAGUUAGCGUACGACAAGCCUGAAAGACGGGUUACAGUGCUUAGAAUUAUGACCAUAUAUCUUCUUAGAAUUAGAAGGGAAGAAAAUAUCAAACAUAUAGAAUUAUGAACAUAUAUCUACCUUGUUUCUGUCUGCAAAGAGAGAAUUGACUGGCAAAUGAUACUAUCACAGGUUCGUGGACCCAAAUGUGCUCGAAAGUUUGCCGAUUAUCUUGCUGAUGCGGAUAUUGGGGAUGUGAAGAAUAUAAUGGUCUUGGAACGAGGCUACAAUGGCUGGGAAUCUUCCGGAAGGCCUGUUUGCCGCUGCAAAGAGGUGCCCUGCAAGGCUGACCAUAGCUGAUGAAUGUACCACUGCAAGAAAGCAAAUGCUGCUAAUAUAUAAUAUUUUGUUUGAAUAAUGAAUGAUGUAUACUCCAUUUAUGGAAGAUUUGUAUUCUUCUGUGAGGAACACGAAACGAUCAUUACUUACACACACGUAUUUCUCGUAACUUGGUGUGCUUCUUGUUCUAUGUAACCGUGUGGAACUUGGUUCUUAAUGAACCCCAAAGUUUGUCGAUUUGUUAAAUUUGUGAACAAUCCUUUUGUUAGGCUUGAACAGGGUCAGUUCAGACAGCAAGCCGUGCGCAUGCGGCUGCAUAGGGGCCCCUAACUAAAGGGGGCCCAAUUCAUUCCUUCUGCACUCCUAUAUAUAAUAUGUAUUGUCCAUGUUUCAUAAUUAACCAUGGUAAAACAAGUGAACUCACCCAUUUCAUCUAUUUUAAUUUUUUUUUUUAGUUUUUAUAAUUUAAAAAAAAAACAUAGAAAAACAGAAAAAAGGAAACAAAAAUGCAAUCAGUCAACUAAACUACAAAUUUAAGAAAAUUUACUAUAAUUUGGGGUAAAACCAAGAUGCGAAUUACUCCUCCACAUUCCCUUGUAUGGGCUUCGCGCAAUCAAAACCAAUUUCCACCUCAAGAUUUCGUAUGAAUUCACGGGAUUACAAACUAGGAUUUACGGAUUGAGAGACAAAUAUGAUGGGAAAUUUGGGAUGACGUUUGUUAGAGCUCACGGGAUUGAGAAAAUUAUGAAAGUUUUCAGAAUCUAAGUUUGCUAGGGUUUACGGGAUUGAGAGUGAAAUAAAAAUUGGAAAUUUGGGUUAGUUAUGAAGAGGGAAGAAUGUGAGAUGGAUUGUGGUAUGGUCCAAUUUGACAUCUAAUAGCCAAAUGGACGUCACAUGCGACACACAUGAAAAUUCCGUCCUACUUAACCUGGAGACUUUGAGGAUCGAUAAAAAAAAAAGACAAAAAAUAGUUUAUUUGGGGACCAAUUUCAUGAAUUCGAUAGUUUGGGGACCAAAAUAGUCUUAAUAGUAAAGUAUAGGGGCAAAAAUAUAAUUAUCCCACCGUAACUCCGCAAGUAACAUACAUCCGAACGGAAAUUACCAAGCCUUGUUGAAAAGGAUCCACUUAAGACUCGCUCCCGAGUUAACAACACGCAUCAUUCGUCUUCCCCCAAUCCAAUCUGACCUUGCAAAAGCGAAAAUGGUAGUUCAUGAUUUUGCAGGCAUCUCCUUCGAUCUAAUCCUUAUAAUUUGUUGCUUGCUUUAAUUUAUUUCUGUAAUUCGCAGGUUUGCUUGGCUUGUUUGUUGCCGCUGUUUCUCGUCCCAAUCGUCAAUUUGUUGCCCGUCCUCUUCGAUAUCAUCAUGGUUUGUAGAAAUUCUCAUCGAUCAUCGUUUCUGCGUGAUGUGUUUAUAUAUUUGUAAUUAGGUUUUCGAGGAUUCGUAAUCUUCUAUUGAUUGAUUUUCUUAGAUUAAAAAUUAAAAUAAAAAUAUAUAUUUAGGGGAAGGUGUACAGAUUGUUUGGAUGGGAAUAUCGGAAGCCGGUGCGAGCACCUCCCGCUUGUCCUAUGAAACCAUCCGCCUCCAAAACCGGCACCGCCGAUUCAGUAAGUCAACUAUUUUUUACCUGCAGAUUUUUGAAUUAUUUUUGUUAGGGUUAGAUAUGUAUUUAGAUUUAGGGAAUGGAAUCGGAAAAUUGUCGAGAGAUAUUUCACGGUCUCGAAUCGAGAUAGUCUAUAUGCUUAAUGUAUUUACAUUUUCCAAAACAAUAAUGUGUUUCUGCGAAGCAGAAAGUUUCGAAUUGGCUUAUCAAAACAUUGGUAGUGUCUGCUGUUUCUUAAGAAUGAUGCACAUAAAUCAAACACACAAUUUAGGCGGUGCUUGAAUUCGUAAUAGAUUAGUCGAAACGUUUGUUGUUCUGUUUUAAGUUUUAACAAAUGAAUAAAUGCACGCAGUUUCUGAUUUUGUUUCUUUAAUACAACUCCGUAACCAAAUUUGUCAGAAUUCUUUAGAGCUAAAAGCAUAUAGGUAAUAUUGGCAUCACCAUAACUUUAGAUGCACGCUCGUGCAUUCCAUUUUUUCAUGUUCAUUGCACUUUUAAUUCUCAUCUUUUGGGCUUUGAAAUCUUCUUUACUUGAAGGUGAUUACAUCAAUUAACCCCUUCAGUAUAGAUGCCAAAACACAUGAUUAAAUUUAGAUUAAGUCGAAUUCUUCAGUUUCACCUAAUCUUGGAAAAUGUUUAUUAAAUUCGGAAAAUCGGUGUAUCAAAAAGGUUGCAGGUAUACAGAACCAUGGUGCCCCAGAUCCAUCACUAAAGUCGGUUGGAGAAGAUGACGAUAAGCUAGACUAAACUGCACCAAAUUUGGUAUAGUCAUUUUCAUUUAAUCUCUGUUUAAAACUGGUAAAACUGAAAAUAAUAGAUUCUGGUGAGGGUAAAGGUAU
Molecule: long non-coding RNA, 54390 nt
Filed under: Erythranthe guttata (spotted monkey flower)
Lineage: Eukaryota; Viridiplantae; Streptophyta; Magnoliopsida; Lamiales; Phrymaceae
Description: long non-coding RNA (EGUT_LNC000970)
Rfam family: tRNA (bases 49801-49892)
Source: RNAcentral